GAUUCAUCUGCUUCUUCUCAUAUCUCAGCAACAUUGCCCGUGAAGUCAUUCAAAUUCCAGAAUUCUUGAGCUCUCUGAAAUUGCUCAGAGAAUACGUUGGAGCUCUUCGCAAGCAUCCAGAAGUUUACACAAAGUUCAGAAAGUAAUCAUUUAUUUUUUGAACUAUAAAAUUAAAUUAAUUUAAAUUCAUUUUCAGAAUGCUAAUAGAAUCAAAAAUCACCACGGAUAUUCCUGCUCUUGACGUUGAAUCCGAUUGGCUUUCAACUCUUCAAUUCCUCUCAACAUGUGGUCUUUUAAAUGAGACUUUUUCAAAUCUACACGAAAAUUGGUGUAUGCCAAAGUAUUUGGAUGCUGUUCAAGAGAAUUCGAUGGCUUUUCUCUUAGAUUUCUUGUUGGUGCUCUGCAACGUGGCAACUCAAAUCUGCUCGGAGGAUAGUUCAGUGUCACAAGUGCUAUAUUCAAUGUCAAUUGUGAAUAAUGCAAUUGAAAACUGUGGAAUUGUGGAGGCGAGAGAGAAAAUGCGAUCUACGUUCAGCAAAUAUUAUUCAUCGAUUUCAAACGGAAAAAUUGGAGAUUUUUAUUCAAUUUCUGCACUUUUAGAUCCCAGAUAUGGCUAUUCACCAAUGAUUUUCUCAGAAGAAGAUUGGGAAAAUGUUGAAGGAAAGCUAUUAAAAGAGAUGAGUACAACACAUCAAAAGAAUCUUAUUGUUCGAAAAGAAUUACAACGAUACAGAGAACUUUUAGUUAAUCGGCCAUUAUUUGAUGAAUCAAAUACUCCAGGAAUGUGGUGGAAUGAUUUACAAGAAGAAUUACAAUUUAUGUAUAAAAAAUGGUUUGAAUAUUCCGGACUUCCAGCUGUAUCGAUUGAUGGAAAACGAUUUUUUGCAAAAGGGGGAAAACUGGCUCAUUUGUUUGCUACACUUGAUGAGGAAUUGCAUUUUAAGGCAAUGCUUUUGGCACAGAGUUCUCAGGAUUUUGUGUAAGUUGAUGGAGAAGAAGAGGUUUUUUGCAAGCCUGCGGCGCGGUUUUUCAAAUUUCCAUGUUCACGUGGUGUCAAAGUGUCCCAUUUAGGUUUGAUCUUCGAGAAAUGCGGGAGAAGAGACGCAGACUUUUCAACUGGCUUUGCAUGGUUAAGGGCGUAAUGACGUCACACUUGUUUGGGCAAAAAAUUUCCGCAUUUUUUUGUAGAUCAAACCGCGAUAGGACACCCUGACACAACGUGCACGUUUUCUUCGUUUUUUUGUGAUGAGGUUACCUGUGAAAAAGUGAUUUUUUGGCACUGAAAAUCGCACAAAAUUUCCCAAGUUUCGCAGAAAAGUUGGAUUUUUUUAAAAAAUUCCUACACAAAAAUGAGGUGAAUAUUACCCAAAUGCGAAAUUUCUCCGAAUUUUUAUCUAAAAAUACGGCGCCCGGUCUCGACACGACAGUGUGUUUCAUUUUGUUAUUGCAAAUGAGUGUGUGCCUGUAGGGAGUACUGUAGUUCACAGCCUUCAAAUUAUUUUUCAUAGUUUUCUUCCCGUUCCUGUAUAAUUUUAUGUGUUUCUGAACGUUUUAACUAUUUAAAAUCCAAGAAGAUUGCGCCACAACAUCGAGUUAGAGACUACAGUAUUCCUUAAAGGCGCAUACUCUUUUUCAAUUAGAAAUUAUCUAUCGCGUCGAGACCUGAAUCGCAAAAUGCCGCACUUGGGUAAUAUAAACACGAAUAAUGGAGAAUCGGUGGCGUUUUUUUCAACUUUUUUGUGAAUUUUUUUCCAAAAUAGCAAUAAAAAACCUUUUGAAAAGCUCGAAUUUCUGCGAUUUUCAGCGAAAAAAUUGGAUUUUCAUAAUUUUCACAAAAAGCUGAAAUAACCGAAAAGACAAGAAACUCCCGUUUCAAAAAAAGAAGAAAGAUCUAAAAACCGCGCCGCAGACUUGCAAAUCGAAGCUCCGCCCCUUUUUUGCGGCUCGAUACAAAAUUCUACUGAAAAAAUCCGUUUUUCAGUGGACGCGGAAGUGCAAGUAUUCUGAUUUUCAAUCAAAUAACCGACGGAGCAAGUACAUUCAGACGGCUUGAAAAUGAAGAUUCAGUUAAAAUGGAAGUUGACGCCAAUGUUGAAGAGACGGAAAUACUGGAGGAUGUUAAACUAGAGUAAGAAAUUUCAGAUUUCAAUGUUUUUUUUCUUCCAAAAAAAAAAUCAAUUUCCAGACUCGUCGAGCAACCGGCUCCUGAAAUCGUACUCCAAGAGAUAAAAGCAGAGGAACCCGACGAUUUCACGGCAUAACUUCACUUCAUUUCACUAAAAUUGUAUUAAUUUUUUGAAUUUGUUGUUAAUUUUUUUUGUUUUGUGAAUUCAAUAAAUAAAAAACAAUCGAAAAUUUCCAACAAUUCACAUGAAAAAACAAUUAAUUGUUGGUUUUUGAGCAGAACAUGUGAAAGUUCAUCGGAUUUUUCCUAGAAAAUACGGCGCCCGGUCUCGACACGAUAUUUUUCGUUAAAUGCAAUUGUAUGUGGUGUCCCAUCGCGGCUUGAUCUACAAAAAAUGCGGGAUUUUUUCCUCGGAAAAGUGUGACGUCAGCACACUCAUGCAAAAUCAGUUUAGAAGCCUGCGUCUUUAUACCCGCAAUUCUCGGAGAUCAAACCGAUAUGGGACAUUUUGACACCACUUGUGUGCUCCUUUAAAGAGUACUGUAAUUUCAACUUUUCUUUGCUGCUGGUUUUCGUUGAUUUUCCCUAGCUAAUAAUCAAUUGAAGAUCUAUGAAAAAUCAAUAAAAACAACGGGACUGGGGAGUAACAGCUUUCUAUGAUUUCAAUUAGUUUUGAAUUGAAAUUUCAAAUAAUUUCAUAAAGAAGACUCAGUUUUCAGACGAAGAAAAGAAUAAAAGCACUGCAUUCGAGCAAAAUGAUGGAAACAAUGGUAACAUUUUUAUAGAUAAAACUUGUCAAUUUAAAAAUAAUUAAAUAAUUAAUUUCAAAAUUAUAAAACAAAUGCGGAUAAAUUUCCGCUUCCGCGUAAUCAAGGUGACGCGUCCAACUCCUUGCGAAUCCACCAAAGGAAGGGGGUUUGAGGCCGAAUAGGCUCAUCCAGUUGGCUUCUUCAAUUUUCGAAGAGAUCACCGCCGCCGAGGCAUCACUGGAGACGCAAAAAACCACCAAUUUGCCUUGCGUUUGUGAUUUGAACGGCAUUGCGAGGUACUCUGCUGAUUCCAGAUCUUCGACUCUGAAAUAAGAUUAUAAUAGAAAUAAAAUAAGUCUAAAAAAUCGAUACCCAAUCGUCUUCAAUAUCAUUUUUAAUUCCAAAUGCGUUGGAUCCGUGAUGCUCUGAAUUGUGGCGUUCACGAUGGAAAAGCGGCGAUCGGAACCUUCCAUCGUCGAGGAGAUGGGUCGCUUGGUGCUGGGCUCGCCGUCUGGAAGAUCCUCGGCGGAUCGCUUCAACGACAUGCUCGCCGACGGCCCAGCAGCUUCCUCACUCGUCGACUCUGGCACCGGAUCAUCGAGUUCUUCGACAGCAUCGGGCGCCAUCACCACCAUCACAUCCUCCUCGUCAACGCGCGCCAUCACCUCAACUUCUUCAUCGUCUUCCAGGAAUAUGGAGCCGCCGGAGUAGUCGGACAAGUAGCCGGACGUCGAGCUCACCGGCGAUCGGAAUGUCGAGAGUGAGCUUAGGGAGCUCACGCUACGACUGGGCGGCGAGUUCCGCGGCAUGUAGUUCCAGGAACCAAUACCCUGAAAAUUGUACGUGUUUUCUAAAUUUUUCAAAUGAUUUUUAAAUUUUGCAAAAUUAAAAAAAUUCAUUUCCGGAAAUUUCGAUAUUUUCGCGUUUUUUCAAAUUUUUCCCAAAAGAAAUUCGCUAAACUUUGAAAAAAAUUAGUCAGAAUUUUUUUUUGUUGGAAAAACAGUCAGAAAAUUAAAAAAAAAAUCAAAUAUUAAUGAAAAUUUGAUUUUUAAAUUUUGCAAAAUCAAAAAAAUUGGCUGAUUUUCGAUAUAAUUUUUUUCUUUUUUUUUCAAAUUUUUCCCAAAAGAAAUUCGCUAAAAUUUCAAUAUUCGUCAAAAAAAAAUUUUUUUUUCGGAAAAACAGUCUAAAAAAUUAAAAAAAUCAAAUAUUAAUGAAAAAUUGAUUUUUCAAUUUUGUAAAAUUAAAAAAAUUGGCUAAUUUCCGGCAAUUCCGAUAUUUUCGCGUUUUUUUCAAAUUUUUCCCAAAAGAAAUUCGCUAAAAUUUCAAAAUUAAUAUUAAAAAAAUCUCCUUUUUUUUGGAAAAACUGUCGAAAAAUUAAAAAAAAAUCUGCCUCUUCCUAUAUUAAAUCCUGAAAUUGCAUUCUUGACAGAAAUAAAAAAUAAGGGCACGUCAAAUAUUAAUAAAAAAUUAAUUUUUCAAUUUUGCAAAAUUAAAAAAAUUGGCUAAUUUCCGGAAAUUCCAACAUUUUCGCGUUUUUUAAAAAAAUUUUCCCAAAAGAAAUUCGCUAAAAUUUCAAUAUUCGUCAAAAAAAAAUUUUUUUUUCCGAAAAACAGUCUAAAAAAUUAAAAAAAAAUUCUGUAGGCGAAUUUUUCCGUAUGUUACCUACUUAGCUAAAAUGUAAUAUUUUUUAUAUUUCCGAGUAUUUUCUCAAUAUUUUAAAUAACAUUUUUUUAUUAUCAGGAUUAUCACAAUUUCGAAAAAUCAAUAGUUUUUUUUCGGAGAAUUUUCACAAAAAAAAAUUACGCAGGAAGAUUCAUUAUUCAGUUUUCCUAGAAAAAAAAACCAAAAUUACUGUUUUUUUGCAAAAAUUAUAUUUUUCCAUAAUUUCCAGUAAUUUCUUAAUAUUUUAGAAUAAUUAUUUUUUCCAUAUAUUUUUGAUUAAUGAAUACUUUUUUUUUCAUAAAAUAUUAAAAAAAAAGUGUUUUUGAUGUUAAAAAUUACCGAAAAAAAUCUCGUUAAAAAGUCGACUUUUUCAAUAAUUCCGAGUAAUUUCUCAAUAUUUUUUUGAUAAAUCAAUAAUUUUUCGUUUUUUCUCAAAAAAAAAAACGAUAAUUUUCUCCAAAAAAAGCCUCCAGGCGACCUAUACCUACAAAAAAACUCACUUUUCGACUUUUUCCUGUUUCUGCGAUCGGGUUUUGCGUCGAUUUGUGGUAAUUAGCUGAAAAUAUAAACUAUAGUUUUUAUAUUUUAACUAUUAAUAAAGAAAACAAGAGAAAAGUGAGAAAAAACAAUCAAAAACUCGAAAAACAUCAGGAAAUCAGCCAAUUAAAAAAUAAAGAAAUUGCAUGGCGCUCACACAGAAAUUUUAAUGCUCGUGUAUUAAACAAGGAUAGGACAUGAGGUGCCAAAAUAAGAUUCAUUGCGCUAAUUUUUUAUAGAACUUAAUACUCUAUUUGUGAAAAAGUGCCUUCGUAGUUUGGUUUUGCAUUUCCCCCAGAUGAACUUGGUUUUGGUACGAGUUUUACUAUUUUUGUCUAUUUUGAAAAAUUGGUCAGAGUCAAUAUCAACUUUGUUCACUAGCAUUUUCGACAAGAAAACUUUAUCAAUAGCUUUACGCCGAGCCUCUAAAGUUGAUAAGUUAAAUAGUUCAUUACGUUGAAUAGCGCUCUUAUAGUCGGGGUCAUCUGUUCUGAUGUAUUUUCCCUUUUGCCUGCUGUUGCGUACGAAUGCGUACGAAUGAAUGCGACGAGACAAGACGAGACGAGAUGAAUGCGAUGAACGAGACGAGACGAGUGAAUGCGUACGAUUUCACGAGCAAACAUUUUUUAACCCAUAUUUUUAAAUUCUAACCUUCAAAAUUCGGGCAAAUUAAACACGAUAAAUUAAUAAUAGGCUCCGCCCGUAUAUUGGAUCUUUUUACGUUUAGUCUCUCGAGGUAUACUCUUUAAACGCACUUUUUCAAAAAAUUUUAUUCAAAUAAGUUCAUUAUAUUUUCAAAAUCGUGAAAACUCUAAUAGUUUCCUCCACUGCUUCCUCCUCCCUGCUGCUGCUCUUGUCCACCUCCACCAUACUUGCUCGGCUGCUGUUGUUGCUGUUGACCAUAUCCUCCUUGUUGUUGCUGUGGUUGCUGUUGUUGUCCUCCACCAUAUUUGCUGCCACCGCCACCACCACCGUACUUGUUUCCUGAAUUUAAAGGCGCUUUGAAUAUCGAAAAAAAUAUGUGGAAUUUAGAAAUAUCACAAAAAAAGAAAACCGAAGAAAUUCGCGGAAGACCGAAAAAUCCGACUUAAAAAACGUGAUUUUUUAAAUUUUAGCUAAUUAUUUGAACCCCCUCCAAAAUAAGAAUUGCAACCAAUCAGCGACUCGCUCCACGUAGUAGUACUGUAGGAUUACUGUAAUUUUGGAAAAGUUAGUUUUUGCCUUUUGAAGGGAUAUUGGUUUGGGGUUAGUGGGGGAUAUGGUGGAGUACUGUAGGGCUACUGUAGGGAUACUGUAGGAUUACUGUAGUUUAAGAAAAAAGGCGUUUUGUCUUUUGACGGGAUAUUGGUUUGGGGUUAGUGGGGGAUAUGGUUGGAGUACCGUAGUAGUACUGUAAGGGUACUGUAGGGUACUAUAAGGGGACUGUAGGAUUACUGUAGUUUAAGAAAAAAAAACGACUUUUUGUCUUUUAAAGGGGCAUUGGUUUGGGGUUUGUGGGGGAUAUGGUUGGAGUACCGUAGUAGUACUGUAGGGGUACUGUAGGGUACUGUAGGAUUACUGUAGUUUAAGAAAAAAAAACGACUUUUUGUCUUUUAAAGGGACAUUGGCUUGGGUUUUGGCUGGGAGAAAAAGGCGGGAAAUUCAAAUUUUCUAAGGAAGACAAUUUUUUGGUAACUUCUAGAAUUUUCAAGAAAGUCCGCAAAAAGUCAGGAAAAAGUAGGUAACUGCACAAAAGGUUUUGAGGUUUUUUCACUUUGCGAUUUAUUGAAACAACUUAAUGUAAGCCUGGUUGCUCUAUAUUUUGAUAUAAUUUUCUGAAAUGAAACCCCUACUCACCACCACUCUGACCACCUCCAUACUUGCUCUUCUUCUGGCCACCUCCUUGACUAUACCCUCUUCGCACUCUCAUCUUUGGCUGCGCAGCAUCCCCAAUAUCUUCUUCCUCAACAUCCAAUUGAACUUCUCCAAGUGGUCCGACAUCUUCCUCAGAUCCUUGUUUCUCCGCCAGAGCAUCCUCUGAAGUUUCACGAAGGAGCCUUGUAGAGUUAUUUGGCGACGGUGCAACGUAUUUCUCUUGGCCCGGAAUAGCCGAUACAGCGGCUAUCAGAAGAAACAUAGAAAGACAUGAAUAGUAUUGCAUUUUAAAGUGUGGAUAGUUUGACGUCUGGGUCCUGAAACCUUUUUAUAUGAACCCACAACACAGUGUACUGUAAGAACCGGAUGCUUGAGGAGAAAAGACAAUUUAUCAAGAAUUAAUGAGGUGAUGAGGGGUAGAGGAGGUAGUAGUUUCUAUUCUUCAAUCGAGUACAAAUGACAAAAGGUACUGAAAGUCAUUGUUAAGGGGGGGGGGGGGGGUUUCUGAUUUUUUUUUUCAUUUUUUCACGUGUCGUCAUAGUGUCCGCUUUUCUGAAAAUGUUCAGUAUAUUUGGCACGCUUUUCAGAACCCAUAGAGUUGCUCCAAAAGUAUACUUCUGUAGGUUUUUGAUGAUUUUAAAGAUUCAGUGGUAAUAUUCUAUAUUUUGGAAAAAAUCUAAAAUUUCGAAAAAAAAAGAAACAUUUUUCAGAUUACUUUGAAAAUGUUUUUCUGAAAUUGCUCUUACAGUUUUUUUUUUAAAUUUACAAUUAAGAGUAGUAAAACAUUUUGUAACUUCUUUUUAAAAAAAACUAUUUUGAAAAAAAUCUGAAUUUUCAACCAAAAAUUGCAUAAAUACUAGAAGAAGUAAAUUUUUCAAAAAAGUUGCCAAAAUCUUUGCUCACAUUUGAACACUUUCAAAAUCACCAUAAGUCUACGAAAAUUCACUUUUGCAGAAUCUUUACGGGCGCUAAAAAAAAGUAUCAAAAUGUACCAAAAAAUUAUUUUUUCGGGAAUUUAUAUGUCCUGAAAUUGCUCGAAAAUUGCAAUUGAGAUUUGCAAUUUUAAAAAUGAUUUUGUGAGUACUUAGAAGUAGAAAAGCAUUUUGGAAUUUUUGCAAUUUCAGAAAAAAAAAUUAAAUUCUCUCUCUCCGCGCCUCUGUAACGUUUACUAAUCUUUGAAAUUGUCAAAAGUAUUCGAAAAACUCAAUUUAAGAAUCUUGGAAACAGUGCAAAAAUUAACUGCUUUAAUUUUUCAUUUUACUCUGAAAAUUUAAGUUGUUAUCGGAAAAAAAAUCAUUUACUUAUAGUAAAAUAUUAAAAAAAAACAACUGUGUAACAUAACCAAGGAUAUGAUAAAACGGCAGUGAUCGAAAAUUGAUAAAAUCUGAUUUUUUAGAAGAAGAAAGUCUGGACGUCUUCCCCGGAUGCUUCAACAUCGGCGCCGCUUCCAUCUGAUGAGACUGCAUCCAAAAGGGUCUGAGCAUUUAAAAUGGCUUCCUUAGCAUCAGUUGAAACAUCUCCUGAGCCGGAUCCUUCCUAGAAAAAAACGAUAGAUUAUUAUAAAAGCUGAGGUAGUUCGAUUAAAAAUUUUCAGCCUGAAUUUCUUUUCAUAAGCUUUACUUUCAAAAAUCUGAAGUAAAAAAUUCAAAAAUCAAAGCGUUUCAAAACCAAGAACGAAAUUUUGAAAAUGUUCACCGUGGUUUCAAACAUGAGAAAAAUCAUAACCACAAACGUAAAUUGUAAAUUGCUCUCACUUUUUGAUAUUUUACUCACUAAAUGUUCACAUAAAUGACGUACAAACAAAACAAGAUAAGACAAAAUUAUGAGAAAAUGUUGUCAAUUCUGACUUUCGUACUUUACUCUUUCAUAUCAAGUUUACUGGUCAAUUUGCGACAAAACAGCAACUCACAAAAAAUGUGGAAUUAUAUGGAAAUUAUCUUCUCAUUAAACUUUGUUUUAUGAGAACACUUUCUUCAAAGUUGUGGGCCACUUAGCAAUUCUAGCUAAAAAAAACAGACCCGUCGGAUGGCACCUGUAACUUUUUUCGGAAUAGAGUUAAAUGAAUUUGACCAAAUUGGUGAUGUAAAAAAAAUAACCAACAACAAUUCGUUUUUUGAAAAUAUUUUGCUAACUUUAACUGUUGUUGAGUUAUGCGUGUUUGAACAUCUCAAGCAAAUCACCGAGAAACCUAAAGCGACACUGCAACUUUUUCCUCACGAGGGACGAGGAAAAGUGGUUUCUAGGCCAUGGCCGAGGGGCCGACAAGUUUCAGCGGCCAUUUAUCUUGCUUUGUUUUCCGCCUGUUUUCUUUUGUUUUUCACAGCUUUUUCCCGUUUUUUCUUAUCAAAACUGAUAAAUAAAUAUUUUUUGCAGAUGCUAAAACAAUUUUCAAGUAAAAAAAUUAUGUAUUCAGUGGGCAAGCAGCGGUGAAAGUGGUCAAUGCAAUAUGAUGGAUUACGGGAAUACAAAACCUAAACUUUUUCUGAAACAUGAUACAUAUGAUGCUAAGAUGCUGAAAUUACCUUAUUUUCAUAACGAGACCGCUGAAAAAGUUUUGAGGUUUUCAAAAUUCAACUUUUUGUGCAAAAAUCUCGACUUUUUCACCAAAAAAGUUGAAUUUUGGAAACCUCAAAACUUUUUCAGCGGUCUCGUUAUGAAAGUCAGGUAGUCUCAGCAUUUAAGCAGCAUAUGUAUCAUGUUUCAGAAAAAGUUUAGGUUUUGUAUUCCCGUAAUCCAUCAUAUUACAUUGCCCACUUUCACCGCUGCUUGCCCACUGAAUACAUGAUUUUUUUACUUGAAAAUUGUUUUAGCAUCUGCAAAAAAUAUUUAUUUAUCAGUUUUAUUAAGAAAAAACAAAAAAAAUUAAUGAAAAACAAAAGAAAACAGGCGGAAACAAAGCAAGAUAAAUGGCCGCUGAAACUUGUCGGCCCCUCGGCCAUGGCCUAGAAACCACUUUUCCUCGUCCCUCAUGAGGAAAAAGUUGCAGUGAGCGACCGGAUUUUUGACCGGAAUAUUGACCGCCACUGGCCUUACAAAGUUAUGGUUUAAAAAAAAGACUCUAGAUGAUUGAAUAAAUGUUCCUAAAUACUUAAAUUCAGCAUUUAGAAAACAUAGAAAUUACUAACCAAAUCAGCUCCAAAUGCUGCUCCAAAGAACAAAAUAACCAGCAGAACAAGUUGCCAGAGAUGCAUAUUCGUAUAGAUAGGCCGUGUUUCAAACUGAACUGAUUUGAAGACUGACAGGUGCUCCGUGCUCCAAGAGAGAAUGUCUCCUCCCUCUUCUUUUUUUUUUUUUGAUGGCACUUUGCAGAAACUGAUUUGAAACACAUUCAUCAAUUGGCGGCAAAGGUCAGAAUGAAUGAGUGGGAGAGAUGAGAUAAAUGGGGUCAUGCGACUUGAACGAUGAAACAAGUGCAGAGAGAGCACAAUUCGUAUAGAUUUAAAAUAGCGCAAAGGAAAAAAAUUUUAAUUUGAAAUUGUUUAUUUGGGUGUAUACAGUAAAAUCAAUAAAUUAAUAAAAGCUGAAGCGAUUAUAAAAAUGUAUUAAUACAACAUAACCGUUGGAUCGAAAUUAUUGGGAGUCUUCGAGCGCUCACGAAUAGUCAAUUUUUCUGUAAAAACCACCAGAGUCAAUGGUGGAAUGUAUAGGGCAACAAGACCACAAAGUGACAUAUAAAAUGCGUAUGAGAGGCUGGCUUGAUUGAAAGUUGUGAAGCCAAUGUCGUGGUGUUCCUCCAGGAGCAUCGAAAUUUUGAAGCUGGAUUGAAAUUGGGAGUAGAAGAGGGCGAGGGCUCCUCCGUGAGAUACAGCUGAAAAAAAAAAUAUCAUAUUUGGCUUUUUCAAAAAUGCAUAUUCUCUUUUACUAUUGUACUCAACUACUUCACUUUUAAAUGUUGUAUAUAUCGGUUUAUUUGGAAAUAUCAAAAGUGAUCAACUACAAAUCUAUAGAAAAGGAAUAACAAAUAUUUUUUAGUUGACAGUAUUUUAAUAGAACAAAUUACUACUGAAAUAUACGCUGUCAAAGUUGAACAAUUGGGUGCGAUACUAUAAAGGAACAUGCGGUCAAAAUGUUGGCGCUUCAUAGACUUGAAAUUUUCAAAAUUUUCGAAAUAUAUUUAAAACAACAUUUUGGAAAAUUGAAAUUAAAUAUUUAGUCAGGCAGGCACCUUGAAAGAGACCAGGCAAAUUUUCGGGUUACAGAAAAAUUGACUAUUCGUGAGCGCUCGAAGACUCCCAAUAAUUUCGAUCCAACGGUUAUGUUGUAUUAAUACAUUUUUAUAAUCGCUUCAGCUUUUAUUAAUUUAUUGAUUUUACUGUAUACACCCAAAUAAACAAUUUCAAAUUAAAAUUUUCUUGGGGGCCGAACCGGGGCCGAAUCUCAGUUACAGGUUACAAUUGUCUUAUUAUCCAGGUCUUGAUUAGUCAAUUCCUGACUUGGGGGCCGAAACCAUAGUCCAAAAGCGAUAAAGAUUAUCCGGACUACUCAUAGACCGAAUCGAGAAUCUUACCGCUAGCAUUUCACCACAUUUCAUACAGUUUCACAUCACAACAGACAUUUUUGAUUGGAAAAGACAAAUUUGCAUCAAAAAAGACAGUAAUUAUCGAUUUUUGGAGCAUUUUGACAGUUUUUGCAUCAAAACAGACAGUUUGCCGCACAUUUUGCAGUUUAUUGUUACAUAACAACACAAUUUUCAGCACAGCAUCGAUUACAUCGUCAGCAGAAAGCAGUUUUGUUGUGGAUUUGGAAGAAAAAUAGCAGAAUCACAGGCGAAGCCAUCGCCAAUUUUACAUUUUUCACAAGAAACUCGGUUUUUUUCAUAAAAAUCGAUAAUUUUCGCGUGAAGGCACAAAUUUUCGGAUUUUCUUCGAGAAAUACUAUUUAUUUCUUGAGUAUACUGGUCUAAGGAUUGAUUUCCUUGGUUUUUGUGGAGAUUUAUUCAGUUUUAAGCUGAAAAUCGUCAGUUUGCAUCACAGAAAGUCUUUUACACUCUCAACACUCUCCACAUUCCGAACACUCUCUCGCUCACUGCGGAGAUUUCGUCGAUAAUCGAUUUGGCGAAGGAAAAAGGAGAUUUUAAACAAUUUUUGGAUUUUUUCGUCUCAUCGGCUACAAAACACAUCGUUCAGUGGAUUUAAAAGAAAAUUUGCUAAAUUAUAGGCAAAUCUAUCGCUGAUUUUUCAAUAAAAGCUCAAAUCUUUGAUUUUCUGCAGAAAUUUUCUAAAAUUUCCAGAAUUUCUUCAAGGAAUACAUCUAAAAGUGUUAUUAUUGGAUUCAACAAAUACAAAGGACUGAAUUUAUUGUGUUUCAUCACAAAUAUUGCAAUUUUCGGACUUAUUUCGUCGAUUUCGUCGCCGAAAGCUCACAUUUCUGUCUGCACACUCCUCUUUCACACAGUCUCUCGCUCCGCUUUGAGAACUUGUCAAUUAUCGAUUUUGUCAAGGGAAAAAGGAUUUCAACAGAGUUUUCACAAGUUUUCUGAAUUAAAAGUUUAAAAAGUAAAACAUUUUCAGAAUUUUCUUGGUUUUCAUUGAUUUGAAGACGACCGAAAAAUCGAUUUUCACACAGAUUUUCGGUUUCAAGGAAGUUUUUCAAGAGGAUUGGAUACAAAGCGUCAAAGAUUCUGAUUUUAGCAUAAAUAUUGAACAGUUAUUGAAAGUUUUGAACUUUUCAUGGGCAAUUGAGCAAAAUGAGCAUUCUUUCAAAUGAGCACACUUUCUACCUUGAAAAACUGCGGAAAGAGGUACAGGAAACAUUUGCAGAAUUCCGUGGUCUCAAGAUUCAAGAUGGUCAAUCAUUUGCAGAUUACUGUAACCGUAUCGAAUACUUGGCAGAUGGAUCGAUUAGUCUAGGAAACUCAAGGAGGUACAUUGAGGCAAUGAAAAGGCUAAAACUUAGGACGCUCAUUUCUAAUGAAUACUAUUAUGUGGCAGAAGCAGAAGUAUGUCGUGCACCACUGGCUGAUCACUAUAAGGUCUUGAAAAACUUUAUCAUUAGCUAUGUUCGAAAAUUGGAAGAGAAUAAAGAAUUGUAUUCUGCUGGAAUUGUUGGUACAUGUAUGCCAGAUAUUUUCCGUAAACCACUGAUUCUUGAAACUCCGACAGCUAUUACACAUGAGUUGACACUACAGUGGACAACAGUUUCAAAUGUUGAAGAGCAAAAAGUUAUGGUUACUGAUGAGAAUUCUACAAUGUCAGAGGUUGAUACCAAAACCUUGAAAGAUCUUGAUGUCAUUAUGAAAAAGUUCAACCUGAACUCUAUAAGUGAAGUUGAGGAAAGGAUUCAAGAAAGUUAUCGUUCAGAUGAUGCUCUUAAAAAGAUUGUUCAAAUUUAUGAAGAGUCACAGAAAGAGUUACAAGAGUUACAUGCCAAAUUCAAUGCAGCACAACAUGACCUAAGAAAUCUUGAACUGAAAUUGCAAAUGGAACAGUAUGAUCAUAAAAAGGCAAUUACAAAAUAUGAAAAUACACCAAAAUGUUCUGAUACAAGUGAUGUACAGUACUUUGAGAAUGUUACAGACAGCUGUGAAGUAGAAUCAAGCAUGAGUUUUUCAAAAUCUCUAAAGGAUUCAGGUAUUAAAAGUUAUGGAAUUGACAAUGAUCACUCAGAAAACUAUUUUGAAAGGGAGAAAGUGGACCAGAAAGCCAAGGAUACAUACUUGGGUCCCCCACUGAACUCCAACAUUUUGGAAAAUUUUCAAAAUUGCGAUUCUAUGUCUAUUGUUACAACUGAAUGUUCCAAAACUGAUUGUGAGACUGAACAUGAGACUCAAAUUAUUGAUUCUCCAGAUAUUGACUAUAAGAAUGAAGACACUGAUGCCAUUGAAAAAGAAACCACAUCAAUUGAGUCAAUUACAAUCCAGGAGAAAUCCUGUGACAAUGAAAAUGAUAAGAUUGAGCACACUAUGCACAACUCAUUGAACAAUCAGAUACAAAAGGCCGGACUACAAAAGCCGGGAGAUGUCGCCUGUGGCGGAUUUUUUGACAAGAAAAUGAAGCGUAGAGUCAAUGAGGAAAUGCGUCCGCGUACAGAUCCACCAACUGACUUGUCACAACAAGCAUGUUAUGGUACAGUAUCUGAUAUAUUGGAUUGGAACAAUUGGAGUCAUGACAAUUGGAAGGAUAUGAGUUGGCAAAGAUUCGUUCGAGAAUCGCGUCCUCGCAAGGAUCCACCUUGGAGUUCGUGCCGUUCGGAAGCUGACAUGUGUUAUGGAUGGAGAUGGGAUGUCAGUCAAGUUCCAUCUUGCUCUCAGGAUUGGAGAAGUCGUCACGUCUUGUUCACCCCUCGUCAAGCUGCAGAGGUUCAGUGACUCCAUCAUUCCUAUGUGUAUUUCAAUAUCUUUUUAUUUUUUAUAUUUUCAUCAGUUUAUUAUUUCCCCAUCCCUUAAGAGUAGUAAUUUUAUUUUAAGUCUAGGUUCCCAUAUUUUCAUCAAUUCUUAUAAUUCUUUUCCCCACCCUUCUAAGUCUAGGAAUUAUAUAUUUUAAGUUAGGUCCUGUGUUAUUAUUCUUUAUUCUCUUAUUCCCUAUUAGGUCCCGUAGAGUUUUUUUAUUUAAUUAUUUUUGUAUCCCCUUUUGGUAGUAGCUGAAGCCCAUUUUCUGUGUGUGUCGGGAUCAGGGAGGCGGAGCUCGAAAAAACCGGGGAUGUCGGGUUUUACCCGUUUUCUCUUUUAUUUUUCCCUCAACGCAAGCUCUUUUGUCAUUUUGACACGCCAAAACCUCUGAUUUCCUGCUCAACAAGUUUCGCGCCUUCCGAUCUUGUUGACGCACUUUCAGUGCCUUGCGCACACGGCGACGCGAAUCCAAGAUUUCUCAUCACUUCUCCCGCAAGAACGGGUGCAAGUCGGUCGACGCCGUGAGGCUCGCCGUUUUUCAUAGGUUUUAAGGUUUAAGGUUUUUAUUGUUUAAGUUUUUUUUAUUGUUUUCAGUUAAGGAGAAAGUAUUGUUUUUCUCCUUGUUUUUGGUAUCUUGGUCUCGAGUAUUUCGAGAUAUUAUUGUUUCUCCUGGUUUUAAAAGACUUGUCUUUCUAAUAAAUUAUUAGUAAGAUAUCAAAAGGUCUUCUGUUCUCAGUUUCUCAGUUUUCAAGGUUACAUUGCUACAGGUUGCAUCAUUAAUAAGGUCUUGGAAUAUCAAAACCUUACUAAAUGUAGGUAGGCACAAGCAGGUGUGAGUUGAUCUCCUUGACGAAAGUCAGGCAAGCGUAGGUCAUUACCCUAGGUACCUAACGUACGAACAUUUUAGUUACGACACGCAGUUUUUUCUAAAGUAAAUUUUAGAAAAUGUUAAAUUAUCGAUUUUAGGUCAUUUUUCGAGUUUCAGCGAAUUGCAUUUUUUUUUGGCUGAAAAUUUGACCAAUUAUGUAAUUAUGUUUGAAGUCAAGUUUCACUAGAAAAUUAUGAAAAUGUUGAAAAUACAUUUUUCACUGUUUUUUCCCGGCAAAAAAAACCCACAGACGCUAUAGCUACCCCACUUUCCUUAAAACUUACAGGAUAAUAAACUCCACAAAUAAAUUCCAUUUGGACCUGCUACAGAAAUGUCCAAAGCCAAUGACGUCAUUGAAAAUACACAUGUCACCACUCCAAUCAUCGACCAAAUCAAGGACAUCGAUUCAAAAAAUAAAAAGAAUAUCCAAACAGUUCGAGAGAAGAAUGAGGUGCCUUCUUGUAGCUCAUUGAACACUGGAUAAUAAAUUUUCAUAAAACGAAAAAAAAAAAAAAAUAGAGCAACCAAACCUGUAAAUCGAGUGUUUACAUCUCCCUGUCCAAAGUCAAUCUCUCGGUUUCCCGCAAAAACGCCAGUGUGAACUGAGCCCGCGUGUUGGAAUUUUCUAGUGUCGAUAACCUCGGCGCGAGCCCAGUACUCGGAGAAUCCAGCGAUUAUAGUGAAGAAGAUACUGGGUAUAAUGGCAUUUAGAAUUUGUCCAGUAGGAAUUAGGAGAAAAUUUUUUAAAAUUUUACAGUCUUUGGAUUUUUUUGUUGUUAAAAAUUCUAAAACAAUUCAAAAAGGAUACCGUGAAAAAAGUUUGAAUUAAUAGGCUAGGCAAGCUUUUGCCUGCCUACUUAAAUGCCUACCGCCUACUUUCUAAAUUCCUCCCCGAAGGGAUAGCAAACUUUGUGCACUAGUUCAGAUUUUUUGAAAUACAAAAUUUGCAGCCAAAAUGUUCCAAAAAAAUUAAAAUAUGUUUAACUGGUUUAUUUAUUUUUUCUAGGGUAAUUUCUGAUGUCUUAACUAAUAAUUUAAGACAUUUUGAAUUAUUUUUUUAAAAACAAUUUUUUUCUAGAUAACUUUUUUAGGAAAAAUGGAAGAAAAAUGGAGCUAUACAGCUAAGUUUUUUUAAUCAACUAAUAAGAUUACAUUUUUUAUAUUGUAAAUUUUUUCUGAAACAACUGGUAAAAAAAUUUAAACACUCUAAAAAUCUUCAAAUUUUGAAACAAUAUUUAUAUUAAUUUUUAAGAGUAAUUUCUGAAGCAAAUAGAACACAGAACACACCUUUAAAAAAAUGAGUAAGUUGUACCUACCUAAAAAUAAAUGCACACAUUGAUAUAAUAAUUGCAAGUUUGUGAGUUUUAUCCAUCAUUACCCAUUAAUAAAAAGAGCAGUGUUCCGUUGAAAAGGAUACAAAUUUCGUUCGAAAAAUGAGAACUUAGGCGCCGAAAUAGGCGGGAAAUGAGAUGUUGUUGAAAUGGACAAAAAAGUGCAGCAGCCAGCGGCUUCUGGGGGUUUCGUAGUCCGUAUUUUCCGUCAGUUUAGGCGCGUACAAACAGAAAACGAGCAGCCUGAUCUGCCGGAUAUCCCUCAUGUUUCGCGACCGUCGUUUUGAAUGUGGAGGCACUGACACUUUUUACGGACGGCACAGGAAGAAAAAAGUUGAGCAAAUAGAUAAAUACAAGACGGGGAUCCCGAGUGAGCCAAAUAGUGAGGAUAAUGACGAUUAUUAGGUUUUGAACCGUGUCUCAAGUGCCAAUAGAGUCUAGGAUCUUUGAAAAGUUUCUUGUUUUUUAUAAAUACGAGUAGGCAUAAAACGCGUGCCUGCCUUUUUUUAAAUCUGCCUGGCUGCUUCCGAGGCAACCUACGCCUACCUACCGGUCUUCUUGCGCUACCUGUUCUAAGCGGCCUACCUGCCUAACAGCCUCCAAGACGACUUUCCUGCCAUCGAGGCAGUCUACAUCUGUCGAACGGGUAUCUUGCGAUGUAUAUUCUGCCUGCCUGUUUUGAAAGCAAGCCAUGCCUGCCGGACUGCAACUACAGCGCCGUCAUCAAGGCGACCUAGGCCUGCCUGACUUAAGUCAGGGGGAGACCAACCCAUGUCUACUUUACCUACACCAGCACCAUGGGUGUCAUUUUUCGAUUUUUCGAUGUUUUUCAGUUUUUCCUAACCUAGUACUUUCUUGCCUGGGAGACGUUCUAUACCAGCCUUGUGCCUUCAAGGUGGCCGACCCUGCCUGACUAAAUAUUUCCAAAUGAAAUUAUAAAAUAAAAUAAAAAACUUCGAAACUCAUGGAAGUUCGAAAAUUCUUUAUUUUCUGACAUUUCUGAAAAAUCCAUAAAAAUAUUCCAAACAUUUUGGAAAUUUCUAGAAUACCGAAAAUUCUUUAACAAUUCAAUCCGAAAAUUGAAAAAUCUAAAGUUCCGAAUUUCCUAAAAACUUCUGAAAUAUAUCAAAGUUAUGAAAACAAAACUCCACAUUUCAAAAAAAAUCUAAAAGUUCAAAUACAAAUUCUCAAAAAUUCCGAAAAGAUUUUGUAUUAAAAAAAAUCGUUUCGAAAUAUUCAGAAAUUCAAAAAUCACCGUUCUUAAAAAUACAAACUCUGCUGUUUUUCAGGCAGGUAGGCGUAGGCAUAGCCACGCCUGAAAACGAAUAAUUCAAGAAAAAAUAUUUAUUGCACAACGAGAAGAUGAUGAGAUAUCAAUAUAAUGGAGAGGAGUAUAAUCAGAGGUUUUAGUUUCAGAAAGACAUGGAAAUGUGACAGACCCGAUUCAAAAACAAUACCCGCAUUUUUUUUGCACAAAAAGUGAAAAAUUAGCCAAACUGAGUGAAGUUUUCCGAGAGAAAAAAACUCAGAAAUUGGAGAGAUCAGCGGCGAAAAACUGAUGUAGAACACCUUGUGACACACUGGAAACCCAUAAAAGGUACCGUUCGAGAUAUUCGAAAUGUAAUGAGAGAAGUGGUCCCCAGUUGGUGAGUAGACCACGUAUCUGAAAUUAUGAUUUUGGUUUUGUUAGCUUACAAGAAUUUCAGCGGCAAAAAGCUCAUUAUUUUAGAAUUUUUAAAGAGCCUGUGGUUUUGCUUUGCUCCGAGAGCAGUUGUUUGAAGAAAAUUUUGGUAAUUUUAAUAGCCUAUAGGACCUUCUGGAAGCUUUUUUGGGGAAAACUCACAAAUCAAAAUUUUUCAGUCAAAACUUUUCAGAUUUUUUUUAUAGGGUUUCCUGGCAUGUUUUGUAGAAUUUCAACAUUUUUUUUAAAUUCUAAAAGGGUUAUUCAAGUAGUGUUUGAAAAUUAAAAGUGUAUUUAAAUACAUUUGUGACGUCAAUUUUCGAUAUCUUUAUAAUUUUCCGACACUACAUUGAAUAACCUCUUAAAAAAUAAAUAAUUAUUCUGGAAGAUUUUUUGAUUUUUUGAAAAGAAAAUUGAAAAAGUUAAAACAAUUUUCAACAAAAAAAUAUUCCAAAAAUCUUCCAGGAAGUUUGCCUAGCGCUAGCGUUUUUGCAUUAUUUUGACAAUUUAAGUAGUGCUGGACGUUAGGAAAACAUUCUGGAACCUUUUUUUUAAUUCUUUAAAUUGACCAGAACAUUUACCCAUUCUUAUGCACCUUAUGAAAUUAUCAAAAGUCUAUUAAAUUCAAUUUUGAAUCAGCUCGGGGGGGGGGGGGGCCUAUAAAUUAUUGGAAACAUGUAUCGAAAAUUUUCGAAAAUUUUUAAGUUCAGCUAGAGAAAAUUCGUAAUUUUUUUCACCAAAAAAAAUUUUCAAUACUUAAUUUUUUUCAAAAAACAAACUUCAAAAAAGUCUAAAAAUAUUUUUAAUAACAAUUUAAAAAAUCCGCAAAACUUUAUUUAUUCCCACGGGUUGCUCCUAAUUUUAUCAAAAUCGGUGGAAAAAACAGAACUUUUUUUUAGGGGGUACAAGCUCUGAUGAGUAAAUUUAAGGUACCUGCUGAAGUUCAUCAAUAGUCUUGACAGAAUGCAACAAAAUCCGAGAAGCUGGAAGUAUAUCGGUAGAAUUCGUUGAAAAUAGUGCCGUUUUCUCAAAUGUGCUCAUUUUCGCAAUCUCCGCCCAGAGAUACUUGCGGAAUGUUGGAUUGUAGUGAAGUGAGAAGUCGGACUGCAAGAAAUUAAAAUUUUCAGAGCACUGAUAUCCAAAGUACCUGAAGAGCUGACGCGUAAACCACUGCAUUCUUAGUGCUUACAAUUGCUCGAGCAGUUCUUCGCAAAAGCUUCUGGUCGUGUGAACACGCCGCGAGUUGCACUGUCAGAGCCCAUUUGGCUCCGGAGGACUGGAGACGGCUAUCGAGGAGGUCUUGCUGUAAUUUUAUCGUUGGAAGUAACUUAGGCCUUAGGAUAGGGGAAAUAGACAACACACUUUGCUCGCCGAAGUGUAUAAACAUAAGAUUCAAGUCUAAAGCUCGAGGAAUAAGAGCUUCAGCCUCAAUAGUUAGGGCCUGAGCCUACUCAUGAAUGUUCAAUCUAAGCAUCAAAGUGUGGAGAAGUCUGUGUUCCAAAACCUAUGGGGACAAAGCCAAGAGCUUCCUAGACCACCCACUCAGAAAAGCCUUAACAGAGAACCCAGAGCUUCAGAGCCCAUUUAAAAGUGCGAAAAGUUGAAGCCAAACGAUCUGACCUAUUAAACCUGCUAUGGUUAAAAAUAGAACCAAAUGUGUGUUGUAAACCUAUUUUUAUUCACAUACCACAGUUUUCACUUCAUCCGGUGUAUUUGUGAAUAACUGAUGACACACUGCGGUCACUUGCUUGUGCACAUCUUCCGUCCAUUCAUCAGGUGAUCGGGACCAUCUUUGAGUCUGAAAUUUUAAAUUUCAGAAUUUCGCAAAAAAAUUCACAAAACGACAAAGCUAAGGCCUAAGCCUAAGCCUAAUAUCUCGGCUCCUGUAAAUCGAAAUCGGCUGAAAAUUCACAAGAAAACUUAUUUCACUGCCGUCCUCCUGUCAUUAAAUUUUCGUGAGCUUAGACCGAAAACUGACAAAACGCCAAACUUUAAGAUUUUAAAAAAUAGUUGAGGGGCAUUUUGAAAAACCUUAAGCUCCAUAACUCGGCGAGUUUUGAUGGAAUCAAUUUGAAACUUCAGACUUAAGCUUCUUGGUGGCCUAUACAACUCUCUGUUAAAUUUCGCUUUGAUCGACCAACGGGAACCCUUUGAAAAAUGAAAAAAAACGCUAUAAACCCAAGCCUAAAUGCUAACGCUCGCCACUGACGCCAAGCCCAGGCCAGAAAAUUUCAAACUUACAUAAUAAUCAUUUUUACAAGACGAGAGUCCAGCUGCACAUCUCAUUUGAUACAACUUUGCUAAUCUUUCCGGUCGAACUAGCCAUAGUGAAGCUGUUUCAGCAUCCACCUGACUUUCAUUCAACAAAUGGUCCAUCUGAGAGAUAACAGGCUCAAAAUAGACAAGAAUUGCCUUAUUCAAUUGAGUUGCCUUGUAGACAUCAAUAAAUUUGUAAACUGCAUCAAUUCCAAAAAGCAUCACUUCCAUUUUAGUCUCAUGUGCCAGAUAUCCAAGAAGAUAGAGAUAAAGAUGAGGAUUCACUGAAUUUGAAAGAAAAUAUUCAGCGUCUAGGAUCAAUUGCAUUCGUGAUUUCUCAUUGAUCUCCAGAUGAUUUUGAUGUAAUGUUCUAGCUAAAAGUUUCCAGUUCAACAAAUCAUAGUUUACUCGAUACGGAUAUUUCCAUUCUGGAUUCACAAGAACCGCCUGAUUCGGAGAGAUCUCUGCGUCUCCGAAGGAAACUGUUCGGUUUUUGAGCCAAAACUCUCGGAUCACUUGUCCUUCGGAAGUCUUUAGUGAUCCGAACAUGUAGGUUAUUGGGAUAGUCCAAAGAUCUUGGGAUGCACCGACUCGGCGAGGUUUUCGAAGCUCGUCUCGACGACUUAUUGGGCUUAUUGAUGGGGGUGUAGAGGUCUGAAUAUUUUUUUAAAAAUUAAUUGAUACUUCCAGAAAAAAUUUUCAUGAAAUUAGAGACAACAAUUAAAAUCUUAAAUUAAAAAAAGUUGGACGAAAUUCAAAUUUCUAACAUUUCAGAAAUAAAUGGCGGAAAAUUUAAAUUUAAAAUUUUCGAAAGUUCGGUGGGAAACUCAAUUUAAAAUUUUCAACAAAAAUUGAAGGAAAGCUAGAUUUACGAAUUUUCAAAAAAUUUAGUUGGAAAUUAGGAAAAAAGGUUUUUAAAAAAUAAUUUUGGUGGGAAAUUCAAGUUUUAAAUGAAAAAACAUGAACGGGAAACUCAAAUUUUGAAUGUUUUCAGAACAUUUUAGAAAUUCAAAAUUUGAAUUUUUCCAACAAAAAAAUUUGAGGAAAUUUAAAUUAAAGUUUAAAAAUGCUGCGGGGUAAUUCAAAAUUGAAAAUUUUCAAAUAAUUUUGGCAAGAUAUUGAAAUUUCAAAUUUAAUAAAGAUUCAAAAAUGUUGGCAGAAAAUUCCAAAUUAUAAAUUUUUAGACUAGACGGAAAUUCAAAUUUUUUAAAUAAAAACAUAGAAAAUUUUGGCAGAAAUUUGAAGUAUUAUAUUUUUGCGAUUUUUCGUCUGAAAAUCCAAAAUUAAUUUUUUCGGUACAAAAUUCCUAUUUUAUUUUCAUAAAAAUCCAGCAAAUAAAACUAAUUUUUCAAAUCUUCAGAUUAAUACAUUUUUUUUUGAAAUUCGAAAUUUAAAAAUCGAUUUUUUGUAACAUUUCGUUGUGUUGAAUAUAAGUUUUACCUAUUCAAAUAAAAUUUGGUAUUCUAAAAAUCUGAUAAAAAUGUCUCUUACCUUCCUCCUAAUCGGCCGAUGCUUCCGUCUCCUAUCCUUCUUCUUCUCAAUAUACCCAUCAAAAAGUGCAUCAUCAAAAAGAGUCGAACCAUCUUCAGCACUUCUACUUCCUCUGAAAGUUUUUUUUUUUUUUGUAAUUUUAGAGCUCUGAAAAAAAGGUACAUACCUAUAUCUAACCGAUGCUGAUGCUUUUCGAUCCUUCAAAAAACUUCGAUAUUCGUGAUGAACGGUUUUUCGUUGACUUAUGGUCAUCAUUUCAUUGUCGUAGUUUCUUCUGAAAUUUUUUUUAAGGGGAAUUUUAUUUUGAAAAAAUUUUAAAAAAAUUCGAAAUUUUUUUUUGAAAUUGAAAACGUAAAAUUUGAACUUUUAGAAGUGUUCCAAAAAUUUCCAAAAUAUUUUUUUUGUUUUUUGUUCGACUUUUUCAAAAUUUCCCCUAGAUUUUGCAAAUCAAACUUUUUUCUCAAAAAAGAGCGCUAUUUAAAGAAUUUUCGGAUAUUUUCCGGCUUUUCAAAAAAUUCACUAACUCGUUCAAAAAAAUUUUUAAACGUUUUUUUGUAUUUUUUAAAAUAUUGUUUCCCCGAUCAAGCUUUUGACAACUUUUAAACUAAUUUUGAUGCUCUGGGCAAAUAAUAAAAUUAUAUUACCGGUACAGAGAAUGAUGACAACGAGGAAAAUUUCGUAAAUCGACACAAAUCGUCUCUUCCGCGCGCCCCGCCCCAUUGGGUCCCGGAUGUCUGUCACUCUCUAACUAUCUACACUCUCUGUGCCGGUAAUACUAACAUAAGAUAUAUGUAUUUUUACAAAAAAAAAUCAUAAUUUUCCGAUUUUCCAAUUUAUAAAAAUAAAAAACAUUUACGAUCCAUCUCAUUAACAUAAACUAAACUUUAUUUGAAAAUGUAUGAGCCAAAAAAACUCACAUCAAUGUGAUCUCUGGAAUUCCUUCAUUCACAAACCAUCCCUCCAACACAUGGCUCAAUUUUUCCUGCUCUGCACCAUGAUCCGCAUAAGCUGGAAGACUUGCAAAAAGGUCGUCCCGUGAAACUGAUCGAUACGCAUUCUUCCGUAAGUACCUACGAACUGCCGCCUUGAAAUCAAAAUCACUGACUAGAUCUCGAAGCAUUCGAAUUAGAACACAUCCUUUCGUAUAGAGAUUAGUCGGAUGGAAUGAUGAUUCAACUUGAGACUCUGUGGCGAGCUCUCUGACAAGUGACAGGCGAUGGUCUUCUUCACUUUGAGCCAGAAUAAGGGAAGCCAGACUGUCGUAGUACUCGAAUUGAGCAGUCACUGGGCGUUCUGUGCUCAUCAUUUCAUAGACAUAGAACGUCGCGAAUCCUUCGUUCAGGAACAGCUCUGACCAGUCACGCAUUGUCACAAGAUUUCCGAACCUGGAAGUUAGUUGUUUGGAAUGUUUUUCUGAAUAUCUGGUUCGACUUCCAGGAAAAAAUUUUCAGAAAAAUUUGGAAUCAAACCAUGAAACCUACCAUUGAUGAGCAGCCUCGUGAGCUAUCAGCUUUCCGAUACGGAACUCGUUGUACAUUCUAUCCACUGUUUCAUUCACGUGAUCUGAAAACCGAAAACUUAGUUUUGAGUCUGCCUUCGUCUGCCUGCCUGCCUCAAAGGACAGGCUGGUUACCCUUCGAAGCAGGCAGGCAGAUCUAUAUCUAACCUACGCGCCUAACCUACGCGCCUAUGCUUGCCUACCUACAUCCAAUGCAACCAUCCAAUGCGAUUUAUUCGUCUUCAAGGUAACCUACGCCUACCUCUAAAACUAAUUAGACUUGAGAUGCUUUAAUGGCUACCUAGCCUUGCCUACCAACGUUCAAUGCAACUUAUGCCCGCCUGCCUAACUGGCUGUCUACGUUUCCCUCGUUACCUUCGCGGUAACCUACUCGCCGGCCUGCCUACCUGUAAGGUGACCUUCAUCUGCUUGUUUUGCUUUACUAUCACAACGAUUUGUCAGUCUCUCAAUAGACCUACCCGUGCCUACGCGCCUUGGAGGCAGCCUCGACUCUACCGCUACCUGAACUAUCUGCCAUUCUUUAAAAAAGUUACCUAUGCCUGCCUACUUGCCUUCAAAGUGACCUACGCCUGCUUUUCUAGCUUUUCGAAACCCUAAUCCUGCCUACCUUUUUAUAGCUACCUACGCCGAUAUCGUGUCAAACAUCCAUCGCUGGAGUUCACGUAUAAGUCAAAAAUAGGCGGUAGGCAGGCAGGCAGGUAAAAAUUGAAAUUAUUCUUACCAGUAAUCGGCGGGGUAUAUGCAAUUGAUGCAAAUUCAAACACCACAAGACCCCAAUUCUCCAUUCCUCCAACGUGGAAAUUGCGAGCAGCAAUCAGAUCGACUUUUGGUAAAGGGUACGGAAUCUCCAGUGCGUCUUCCAACCUAUCAAAUAUCACUGGAGCAUAUUCCAGCGUGAACUUCAUAGACAUCACAUCUUCCGGAUAAGUCCACACUGUCACCGGGAUCCCCCGUUCGGUUCUUGACUCGAGCUUCACAAAUUCUCCAAUAGCAAAUGCCAAUAGAUAUGUAGACAUUGGAGGAGUUGUUUGGAAUACGGUAGUUUUAAAUUGAUCCUCCCAUGACUUGUGGUCAUGGGACUCCACAGGAGGCAUAUUCGAUAAUACCGUAUACUUUUUGUUAUGUCUCACAGAAAUAUUGAAUGUGGCUUUUACACCAGGCUCAUCCCAACAUGGAAAGAAUGCUCGGGCCAGUGUUGGCUCGAAUUUUGUAGUGAAACUUGUAGCCUUCAAUGAGGAAUUGGUCUGAUUGUCAAGAGAACAUCUGACUCCAUCGACGUCUUCAUCGCAAAUCGUCAUGUUAUAGGUCAUCUCGAGAAUAUACUUUCCUUUUUGAAGAGGGUCUCGCAACGAUAUUCUCCCCAAUUUUUUGGAUUCUUCACGCUUAAACGUUUUGGCGUAGAAUUUCUUCCCAUCUUUCCGUAGCCGCAUUCGUUCCAUUUUGAUGUUGGGCCCCAAGUGGAAUUGAAUUUCAUCUUCGGUGGAGUUACCAUAACUUUCCAGGUGGAUUGAUAUAUUGGCACGAAUGAAUAGAUGGGUGUCGAAUUGGGAAAAGUCGAGCUGAAAAUUUGGUAGGUUUUUUGAAACCUGGAGAUUUGAACUUUUAGCAUUUCUGGUCAAAUUAUUGGAAAAAAAUUAAAGUUAGACUUUUCAAGCAAAGUUAUCAAAAAAUGUUAAAUUGAAUUCCCGCCAAAAUUAAUGAUAAAUUUUAACUUAAUUAAUUUCUUUGAAACAUUGAAAUUUUUAAUUUCCGCCAAAACAGUAAAAACUAUGCCUAGCUGCGCAGCUGCAUGCGUGCCUACAAAUAACCUAUUCCUGUGAAAUGUACGCGUAAAGGCCGUUUCUGGCACCCAUAUUUAUAUGCCUACCUGAAGAUCAUAGUGGUACGGUAGAAUGUACAGAGGUAGUGGAACCAGCAAAGCGUCUGUCGACAACUUGUUGGCUCUGACUGCAUGAAGUUGCUCCGCGAUGCCAAAUCCUCCAUCUGCAGGCGGUGGGAAUACAUCGGAUAUCGUGAAGUUUCGCUUCUUUUCCAGCUGCAAUUUUUUCAUGUUUUAAGAAAAUUUGGGUUUGUCUAUCUGCCUGCCUGCCUGCCUACCUGCCUACGCACUUGCCCAGAAGCCUAAGCGGUUGCCAUCCUGCCUAACUUUGAAGGUAGGCACGAGGCAGGUAGGUAGGUCCCUCUCAAAUGUUUAACCCGAUUCCCACACUGGCCCCCCUCAUCAACAAAGUCAAUGGUAUUAGCAUAAUCGUAUUACUGUGUCCUUGGAGGUUAGCCAUUUUUGGCUGGCAGGCAAGGAGGUAGAGUAAUUUGCAUGCGAAAUGGGUGAAAUGAGUGAAAUCGGAUCGGGGUGGUGAUUGACAGUAGUCAUUAUGACAAGCCAAGGCAGCCUAUUUACAUAAUUUGUCAAGUGGUCGCGCGUGAUUUUGGAAAGUUUUUGUUUCGCGGAAAUGAAAAGUUUAUGGGAGUUUUUAUGGUAAUUGGAAAGUUUGACUGAGAAAUUUGAAGAAUCUUUGGUGAGCCUUUUACGUAGGUACGAAGAUGCCUAUCUGUGUGCCUACCAGGCAUGUGUAAGUCGCCUUAAAGGUGAGGUUGAUCUGCCGUGUAGGCAUUAGCCAGGCGAGGUUAAAAAAUAAAAAAUUUGAGCCUGCCGCCUGCAUAGGUAACUGCCGCCUAAAAUUCUGCCUAUUUACCGAUGUGCCUACUAUUUGUCUGGCUAAAUGUCUACGUAGUACUCCGUCUUGCAUUCCUUCGUGAUUGACUACAUACCUACUUGCUGCCUACAAGCUUGUUUACCUGCCUGCAAGGCGCUUAUGUUCUGCAUAAUUCCCUGUUAGACUAAUGUUUGGAAGUUCAGGCAAUCGGCUCGCAGGCACGUUACUUUUCAUACGCCUGCCUACGUGCCUGGCCUACCUACCGAAUAUUUUAGUGUUAAAAAGCAAGCGAGUCCCCCUCGAAAGUCAUGCGAUUCUUCCAUCAUUUCCCUCCCCAAAAUCGUUCGUGAGAAAAACGGCAACGAAAAAAGUUAUGAGCACACACCGGGAUUAGUCUCUCCACAACUCGUGGCGGCGUCUUUUUCUUCGAUUGUCCUAAAGCAGCAGAAGAUGUUGUUAGAAGAUGUGUGUGAUGAUGGCUCAAUGAUUCUGGAGUGGCGGUGCUUGUGGUGUAGAUGCCUUCGAGAAGGUAGGCCUCCGCCAGUGUGAUGUUCAACUGAAAACCGAUGUUAGUUUGUGAAAGAGGAGGUUAGUAGGUUAAGAUUUGUUUAGGGUAGGCAACCACGUACCUGCCUAGAAUGAAAGUAGGCGUAGGCCACCUACUCAUGCUGCCUAUUGGUUUUUCAAAAGGGCAUGAUUAGUAGGAAGGUCAAAUGAUUUUCUUUUUUCUUCAAAACAAGCAGGCUUGCCUAUAGAGAUGGUUAGUAGAACAAUCGGUUUUUUCUAAUAAGGCAGGCAUGCCUGCCUACAAAGCUUACACCUACCAUAGUUCUAUUGCUCAAUUUUUGAUUUUCUUCUGAUAUCCAAUGUCCGAUUAUCAAAGCAGCUAGAAUUGCUAGAAGAAAUAUUGCAUGGAGAAGAAUUACGGCUAUACAUUUCCGAGCAAAAUCCGACUUUCGACGUCGCGAUUCUGAAAUAAUAAAAUUUAUUAUUCUCCCAUUGAAUGAAAGCCAUACCCUGCCGAAAAUGUACAGUAGCCGCUGCACCGGAGCCAUUUCGAAUGCACGGCUCACCUUCACAAAUUGGAGCCAUCGAUUUGAAAGUGGCACUCAUCGAGGAAGUCGACGAGUCAUUGCUUUUGAGCAGUGGGUCCAGUAUGAAUACAGAUUUGAAACCUAUUUUUGCGCUGGAAAAUUCAAAAAAUUUAAAUUUAAAAAAAAACUGUAAAAGGUUAACGUUAACGACAGAAAGAGCAGGGGUGGGCGGCAAAAUUUUUCGGGCAAAUCGGCAAAUCGGCAAUUUUCCAGAAAUGAAAAUUUCAGGCAAGCCGCCAAUUGGCCGGAAUUCAAAAUUUCUAUUUCCAAUAAUUUUUUUGAGUGAAAAAAUUUCAGAUUUUUUCGAAAUUUUUUUUGCAAAAAAAAAUGUUCACGAAAAUAACCAAAACGUAGUUGGAGAGCAAACUAGAGUAAUUUUCUAUGAAUGCAAACAAUUUCAAAAUGUAAGACAUUAAGAAUAUCUAAUAUUGGGGCGGAGUCUAGAAGACAUAAGAAAAGUUUCAAUUUCAAUAUCGCAGCCAACCCACUUUUCUCAAAAUCUCAAAAACCUAUCAAAAAUUUUGAUGGGAAACUGAAGAGCGGGGGAGAGAUGACCACCAGAUGUAUGAUUGCAUAGAAACACUAAAAUGUACGAUUUUAUAGUUUUUAAACUUCCUGCCUGUGUAGGCACAGGAUAGGCAGGUAGGUAGGCCUGUUUGAGCUUUCCUGAAAGGGUUUUCAAAUCUCAUUCGUUGAGGCUAGAAAAUCCAGGGCCUACCUAAAAAAAAUUUAGGUAGGCACGAGGUAGGCAAAGGCUCAGUAGUCAGGCAGGCGCUCACUUUUUUUGUGCCUACGUGGAAAUUUUAUAUGUUAGAAUUUUUUUUAGUUGCCGUUGGUUUUCAAAGGCAGGUAGGUUUUUUUUUGUACUUGGUAGGGUCUCCAAAUUUCAACAAAUAAUUGAAAAAAUUUUCAAAGUAGGCGUAGGUCACCUAGGCACCAGGCAUUUUUUUAGGCACGAAGUUGUCGUAGGCUUUUUCAAAGACAGACAGACCGCUUUUAAUGUACUUAUUUAGAAGGAGGAUUCCUAAGGAAAAAAUAUUUCAGUUAACUUUCGGCACUAGGUAGGCAGAAUUUUGUGUGCCUGCCUACCUGCCUUCCCAGAAAAAAAAACUAUAUUUUUCUCAAUAAUAACCUUUGAAAAGUGACAAUUAGUGCAAAUAACCGAGCAGACAAAUAAAUAGCAGCCAGAAAAAAAAUAGAGAGGACAAACAUCGACAAAUCCGCCGAAAAAGAGAAAAUCCGUUGCAAAAACACUGUAUCGAAUUUCCAAAUACACACACACACAUAUAAAUAUUCACUAAAUAGAAAAGAAACAUAGAAUAAAAAAGACAAAGAAUCUGGAAAAUUGAGAGAGAGAGAGAAAUGAGCUUUUGAAGAAAAGGAGAAGAAGUGUAGAGAUAUACAUCUUACUGAAUGAAUGAAAAUGUUUGUUUCUAUUGUUUUCUUGUGAAAAGAGGCUAAAAGUGACUUGAAAAUGACUAAUAAUUAUUGCAAAGAAGUGGGAAAGGGGCCUUGUGUUAUUAAAGUUUUUUGAAAAUUUUAAAGUUCUGGAUUUUAACUGCCUUUUCAAAAAAGGUUCUAAAAUUUAAAAAAAAAUAAAUCGGUGCUUCGGCUUCGGCUGAGACUUAGGCUGCGGCUUAUACAUAGGCUUAGGCUUAGGCUUAGGCUUCGGCUGAGACUUAGGCUUCGGCUUAUACUUAGGCUUAGGCUUAGGCUUAAAAUAAUGCCCCCCUCCCAUUGUAAUUGUUUUAAAUUGAAAAAUCUAAAAAGUUUUCAAAAAAUAUGAAAAACCUUUCAAAAAUUUUUAUAAAAAAUUUAAUUUUUGAUCGGAAAAAACUUUAAAAAAUUUUUUUUAACUAGGGAAAAUUUUCAAAAAAUCUUUAUUUUUUCAAAAAAAAAUAGGAAACCAAAUUUUUUAUUUUACGAUUUUUCUCUCAUUGAAAAUCUCUCACUUCCAAAAAAAGUAUUUAAAAAGAUUAAAGAAACUCGAAAAAGUUUUUCAAUUGAAAUUUGAGCAAAAUUUAAAAAUUGCAAUAAAUAUCCAUAAUUUUUUUCACAAAAUUUCCGAAAAAAAAAACCCUAUUUUUCAACUUUUUCCAAAACAAAAAAAACACCGCUUAAAACCUCGAAACCUAAUCUAUGAAACAAAUCAGUGUUAUAAUCCAAAUAGAUUUACACUAUGAACAAAUGCAACAAGCAAAAGUGUGUCUACUACUCUAUAUUUUCAAUGGGGUGGUGGUUUACAAUGUAACUGUCCUGUCCCAGUUGAACAUACAGUCACUCACGGCAGCUAUAAAACGGUCGUAAAACUGACAAUGACGCGCACAAGAGUCCUGUUGUUUUGAGAUUUUCAAAUUAUCCAAACAAUUACAGUAGCCAGGUGUACUAUAGUGCUCCCUAAGUUGACCUACGGAAAUUGCGGGAAAUUUUGCAGUGGAACAUUGUGACGUAGAUAGGCAUGUAGGUAGGUAGGCAGGUAGGCAGACAGGUAGGUAGGUAGGUAGGUAAGUAAAUAAGUAGGUACAUGGCAGGCACAAGACCUAACAAGUGCGCAAGUAAGUAUACAUAAACGCUUGUUUCGCGCCUACCACCACACUACAAAAACCAUGCAUCUGUACUUCACGCCAAAUUGGCAGAACAUGGGCGAUAGGCAGGUACAAAGGUCGGCACAUCAGCACCGAGAAAUGCCUAGAUGCAUGCCUAAUUAUCAAGCACAACGGCCUACGACUGCUUCAUCAUGCCACCACACACACACUGGAUAUUUCUGUAAAUUGGUUAGAAAUAGGUGGUAGGCAGGUACAAAGGUUGGUAGGUGGGCACAUCGGCAGAGUUAGGCAUGCCUCGAUAAAUAUAUGCAGAAUUGCCAGGUACAAGGCUAGGUAGAUAUAAACAUACGCCUGCGUUGUGCCUAUAACUGAACAUUGUGACACCAUAUUUCACGGAAAAUUCCAGAAAAUAAGUUGUAGGCAGGUAUCUGAACAUAUGCCUGCCUAUCCUAUAAGAAAGCACAUAUUUAAAAAAUAAGAAUUGGUGGAAAAAGUUCACCAUUUUGAUGAUUUAGAUUUCGAUAAAAAUUAUCGCCAAAUGUGCAAAAACGUUCAAAAAUAGAACAGAAAACCUAUAAAAACCCCCAAUUUCCUCAAAAAUUCAUGACAAUACCCAAAAAGUCGAGAAGUCGAGAACAUGAAAAAAAAACCAGUGAAUGAGUAUUGCGGAGCAGUGUUUCGAGAGAAGUCCCUGAGCACAUAAAACAUGUAAAACACAUGUUCUUGAUGUGCCUGCCUGCCCGGGGCUGCAAAAACACACUGUUGAGAUACAUAGGCCGGAAAAAACGUCUGUGUGAAAACCCGAAGGGCAACAGAUGGUCUACAUGAAUGUGUGUACCUAGAGAAGUGUUUUUUUUUCUUGAGGGAAAGUAGUUGUACUAGGUACAGAGGGCAUUUAUUUAUAUAAUUGGUAUGAAAAAUUAUGAUUCAUUAGUUUGAAACUGGGUCUCCAUAGGUAAGUGUUUCUAGGCGUACCUUUCUGCUUGCCUACGUGCCUAGGAGCCCGCCUAGAUGCCUAUUUGCCUUACGUUUUCUUAUCUACUUGUCUGCCCAGAUAUGUACGUCCUAGAUGACUCCUAAGAAAAGGUAGACAAGGCCGACCUGUAUGUCUGCCUACCUGUCUUCUACCUACCUCCGUGUUUCACCAUGCCUGCCUGCCUACGUGCUUGCCUAUCUAUAUGCCUACCUACGUCCCUGCCUGUGUACCUUCGUACACUCCCACCUGCUCACACUAUUGCCUCAUAUGCCUAUUUGCCUGCGUAUUUCAUACCGGCUUACUACUACGUGUCCCUGUCUACCCACCUACAUACCUGGUUUCCUACCUACGUGCCUGCCUAUAGGAGUUUUUCAUGCCCGCAUACGUACCUAUGAUGUUUCAUAUCAAAAUGUCUACGUAUACUAUUUAAAGUAUGCAAACCAGUAGGCAGGCGUCAUGUGCCUAAAAAAUAGCAAAAGUUGAAAAAAGUAGUCGAAAAAGUUCUACGUUUUGCAGUUUUAUUUUUUUAUUUUGUUAGGAUACACAACUUCUGGUAAAGAUGCCUACCUACGUGCCUGCCUUAUGAAUGUCUGUCUCAUGAAUUUCUGUAUAUGUGCCUGCCUUGUACCCCCACCUGCCUACAUACACGCGCUCUAUGCCUACUUGUAUGCCUGUGUACCAGCUCAAGCCUACCUGCCUCAAGUCUUUAACGGAAAAAAAUAGAUGCUCACAAAAUGGGUACAAGGUAGGCAUGGCUUGUACCUACCGUCUAAUUGAAACAACUUACUCAAAACUACUAGAGCAUGAAAAUUCGAUCAACUAGCACACAAUAAAACUGACAAACUAAAACCAAAGUUUUCAUGGUAAAUGCGGGGGGGAUUACGGUGAGAAUGUGAAUGCAAAGUAUAGUUGUAAUCUAGGCUAUUCAGACACGUCUCCGGACCCAUCAAAAACGAUUAUGAAGGCACAGGCCCCGUGUAUGUGACAGCGGGAGAAACUAGUUGAAAGAAGCCAAACGGGGGAUUAGAAGAAAAAGGGAAGAGAGCGAGAGAGGACGUUUUUGUGCUGCUCCGAAUGGGAAAAAGAAUGAGCAGUUUGCCGAAGGCGGUAAGCACUUCUGGACGAACUAACUUAAGGAAGCGGGGGACGGGAUGAUAAAAUGGAUUAAUAACGGGGAAGAUAUUUGCGAAUAGACAGGGAAAAGAAGGUUAGGAGAGUGGAGAAGGAGGUUCUAAAAAUUUGGGAUUUUCUAGAAAAUGUUUUCGAUAUUUUUUUAACACUUUCUUGAAUUGGUCUUUGAUUGUUGGUUAUAAGAAAAUCUGGUAACCUGGGGGGUUUUUGUGCAGCCGACACCGAACGAUGUUCGCGAGGAACCAGCCAUUUUCUCUUGUUGUCAGCGUUUUUUUUUAGGAGCUUCUAUCUUAGCUCCUUUUAAGGGUACAGCUUUAUUUUAAGUACAGAACAGGGGUGUGCGGCAAAUGGAAAAAAUUGCCGAGCUCGGCAAAUCGGCAAUUGCUGGUUUUUCAAAAUUUGCCGAGCUCGGCAAAUUCGGCAAAUCUCUUUUUUUAAUAUUUGCCGAGCACGGCAAAUUCGGCAAAUUUGCCGUGCUUAACAAACUCGGAAAAAUUUGAUAUUUUUUAUGUUUUUUGGAGCACCAAAACUACUGAAUUCUUAACACACAUCUGGUUUCUGAAUAAGUUCCGUGUAGUAUGUCUGUUUAAGCAUCAAAAUAGCUCAAUUUUGUGUCAUUUUACUAAAUUUUUGGCUAAAAAAUCAAUAGUUUUAGUCAAAAUUGUACUGUCAAAUUUUUGACGUGUGCGGCAAAUUUCGAAAUUUGCCGAGCUCGGCAAAUUCGGCAAAUCUACUUUUUUGAAAAUUGCCGAGCUCGGCAAAUCGGCAAUUGCUGGUUUUUUUUAAUUUGCCGAAUUCGGCAAAUCGGCAAAUUUGCCGAGCUCGGCAAGUCGGCAAUUUUCGGCAAAUCGGCAAAUUUGCCGCACACCCCUGGUACAGAAUUAUAGAGAAAAUAUAAGGAGCAUUUUGUCAGUUGAAAAUUUUUUUGAUAAAAUCAAAAAAAAGCGUGAUAUGAGCUGCCAAAGCUGCCCAUGCACUUGCCCAUGGGCUAGGUGCGAAUCAAAGUUAGGCAGGCACGUACGCAGGUACACCUCAGGUGUGUAGGCACAGGCGCCAGUGACUGAAUUUGUAUCGAAAGUUUCUAGAUUUUGCGAAAUGGAUCAUCAUGGAAUAUAUAUUCCAAAGUUGAAAAAAAAUCUGAAAAACGCUAGAUUUUAAGAGAAAAACAUGUAAACUUUAGUACAAAAUCAAACAAUUUCAGAUUUAAAAAAAUUCUACAAAAAAACAGGCUAUAAAUGGGCGGGGCUGAUUGUAAAGAAAAUUAAAAAUAUUCUGUAUUAAACUUAAUACUUUUUGAUAGAUUUUUUCCAGCAAAUAUUUUUUUUUCAUUUUUUGGCAGACAGGCAUAAUGUAGGCAUGCAUCAAACAAAUGCAGGCACAAUAGGCACAAAGGCAUGCCUUUAAAAGUGAGAAUAGGAAAUUAGGAUGAAUUUCCUAACCUAAUAUAAAUCCUAAAUGAAUAUUUCAAAGAUGAAAAUCACACUGAAUAGAAUUGAAUUUUGAUCGAAAUUGAUACCAAUUGGGGGGGGGGGGGGUGACUUAUCAAUUUCGGCGUUUUUCGAAACCUUUUCAGUUUGAACGUAUCUAAAAUUUUGGACAAUUUUCCAUGGUUUAGGGUAACCCUAGGGUAGGUAGGGUGAGGUCGUAUAAUUUGAUACACUCUCAAGAAACAGGGUGUGGUAGUAGAAGGGAGGAGGAAUAGAGGUAAUGCCGUGAAUGGCAACACAAACAGCUAAUGAAAUAUUGACCUAAAUGAAAGGUGGUAUGCAAAUAUUUGGAUUAUUCAGCGAAAAGGAAGUUGUGGUGGGCUUAGUUCUAGAACUACUGAGAACUACUGAAGAUUAACUUGAGUUUGUUUAGGUUAGUAGUUAUUCUCGAUGAAGGGGGGAUUAGCCUUUUUGAAAAGGUAACGAGAAAGUUUGAAUAUUUAGAAGAUUUCAGAGUUUACUAACUGUUGUGCCUGCCUGCCUAUAGGUCAUCGCAAUGCGUGCCUACGUGCUUACCUACCUACAUAACUGCCUACAUACCUUCGUACAUUAACAUCUGCUUAGGUCUAUAUAUAAACGUGCCUGCCUACCUGCCUACCUACUUUAGAUUUUAGGUAUACUGCAAAAUAUAACAAAAAAUGUGUGAAAGUUUGGUUACAUCUUUCAAAAAUUAUUAAAUUUGAUCCUGAAUUUUUGGAAUUACAGUAAACUCCGUCAUUUAUAGGCUGUUUUUUUCUCGAAUUUUGAAAAAAAAUUUUAAUUUUGGAAUUGAUUUUUGGAAAAUGAUUAUGAUAAAUAAUUUCCCAAAAUCUAGAAAUUUUGAUACAAAUUCAGGCACUGGCGUCUGUCUACAUACUUGCCUACACACCUUAGGUUUGCCUGCCUACGUGCCUACCUGAGGCGUGCUUUUGUACAUGCCCACUUAGUCUGCCUACAUGGCUACAUGAUUUGCUGUGUGUUUACUACCUCAGGUUUGCCUGCCUUCAUGUCUGCCUACGUGCCCCUACCUUCAACACGAGAAAUACGCUUGUUCUAGAAAACUCCACUAUUUCAGGAAAUAAUGAAAUAUGAAAAUUCGUACAGUUAUUUGAUUAUUCACAUGUCUUAUAAAAAUAGGGGAUUUCUAAAAAAUAUUGUUCGGACGGAAUGGAUAUAAAUUGUGAAGUGAAGAGAAAGAAGAAGAAAUGAAUCAAAAACAAUUGUAAAUUCGUAUUUUUCUGAAUCUCCGCCCAAUCAAAGAGAACGUAUGUUCCCCUCCUAGUAGUAUCCGCACAUCUAAUAAAUUAUGCGCAUUUCUUUCAGCAGACGCACUUUUUUCUCACUAAAAAAUUAAAAUAAAAAAAUAAAAAAUUUGAUUUGAAUUGGAACAAAUAAAAAACGACGGAACACAGUGCGUACAAAAAUCGGAAUGUCACCGUGUGUGAAUGUGUGAUGAUAGCGAUUAUUAUCAUAAUCAAUCAUUUUUUCGGUACGUUUACCGACUUAUGCAGGUGAUAUAUAUAUUAGGUCUCCAAAUAAGUUUCGGGUCAAAAAUCAUAACUUCUUUCGCCUUUUAUCGAUUUUUUUGAAACUGUGAGAAUUUAUGUUAUCAACUAUGAUCUUUCAUUUUGAUAUGGUCACAAAAAUUUUUGACCACUCGGAGUGCCCUAACUCGAAGCCAAUUUUUUCAAGCAUUUUUCUGAUCCCGCUUCUUUGCAGCUUUGAAUUGAGGUUUAUGUGCGGACUUUGCUUUGUUUAGAAUACAUUGUAAGAAAACAAAAAAAGUUUGGUAAAAAAUCCGUCCAAACAUUUUUUUUGGUCGGUGGUCAAAAAAUUUUUUUUUUCGAAAAUUCUUGAUUUUUCAUACAAAAAUGAUGUAGUCAUGUGUGAUCUAUUUUUACAAAUACAAAACAUUUUAACUAAGUUCGUCACACUCAAAUGAUAAUAGAAAACAUAAUUUUUUCGAAGAAUUUUUGAGUUUUUUGAGUAUUUCUCGAGAUCCAAAUUUCAAACUCAAAUGUUUUGUAUCUUUAAAAAUAGUUUACACAUGGUUCCAUCAUUUUUAUACUAAAAAUCAAAAACCAAAAAAAAAAUUUUUUUUGAAGUUUUUUUGACGACCGACCAAAAAAAAUUUUUUUGGACGGAUUUUUUUUCCAAACUUUUGUUGUUUUCUAAUAAUGUAUUCUAAACAUAGCAAAAUCCGCACACAAACCUCAAUUCAAAGCUGAAAAGAAGCGAGAUCAGAAAAAUGCCUGAAAAAAAUGGCUCCGAGUUAGGGCACUCCGGGUGGUCAAAAAAUUUUGUGACCAUUUCAAAAUGAAAGGUCAUAGUUGAUAACAUAAAUUCCCAAAGUUUCAAAAAAAUCUAUAAAAGGCAAAAAAAAGUUAUGAUAUCGAGGAGAGAUUAUGAAAAAUGGGCGAAAAUAUAGGCAUUUUCAGAAAAAAAACACAUUUCCAAUUUUUUUUUCGGAAAAAAACUCGAAACUUUUUUUUUAUUUUUAUUUUUCAGAAUGCUCUUUAAAUAUUGAAGAACUCUGUUUGAAAAAUAUGUUCAUGUCAAUUUAUGUGCUUUGAUUUUAAAGAAAAAAAUUACUUAAAAAAUAAAACUUAUCAGUUUUUUUUUUAAUUUUCAAGUUUUCUACCCAAAAAAUUAAAACAUUAAUUUUUCCAAAAACGUCUCAAAAGCCUUUUUCAAUCAUUUUUUUAUUUCUAAAAGAAAAAAAAGGUCAAAAAUUUGAAAGGCUGGAGAAUUUUCCCGUAAAAAAACUAGGUUAAAAAUAAAUUCCAAAAAAAAAAAUAUUUUCAAAAACAUUUUUCAAAGGCUUGUAGAAUUGUUCUAAAAUAUUUUAAACUAGAAAAACGGUGUUAAAUGUUUUUUUCCAAUAAGAUGAAUUUAAAAAUAAAAGAAAAUGUUUCAUAAAUAUAUAAAAAUUUCAAUAAGCUAAAAAAUAGAGCCAACGCCGAUGGCAAAAAGUUUUUCAAAAUUUUCAGUCAAAGUUUUGGUAAAUUACCAAAUUUUCCGAAACGUGGAGAAAUUUCUAGAAUAUUUAAAUUAAAACACAAAUUAAUUAUAAAACUCGCUUUUUGGUUGUGAAUUUAAAAAAACUCCAAAUUUUUUCGCGAAUUUCACUGUAAAAUUUGAACAAAAAUAAAGAGAUAGCGUUCAAAACUGCCAAAAAUAUAUACUAAACCACUUUUGGAAUAUCUUAUUCAAUUUAUCAUAUUCCAAACUUGUACCUACAUACAAGAUCGACUUCACCAAAGUGGUACUCCCACAGGGAAAAUUGGGGGAGACGAAUAUGUAUUUUCUUAUUCUAUUCUUUUCCAUAUUCUUAGUCCCUCCUCCCAUCUUCUUGUGUGUGAAGGCAGUUCCCCAACUGCCAGGAGGCUCCGAAAUAAAUUGAAUCAAAAUAUAGAUGUGUUGGUGGUGCCGCCCCUUCCUCCUAUUCUACGCAUUUAACGCGCAUCGCCAAAUGACGGAUGGAAAGUAGAAAAUAUUUUUAGAAUAAUGAAAAGAGAUGAACCUGCCUAACUUUGAUAUUCACAGAGAAAAUAAUUUAAAAAUUUAAAACCCUUCCAUGUUGGCACAAAAAUGAUGCAUUCUAGGCAUGUUAUGCCUGCCUUGUAGGCACGCAGGCAGGCACGCCUAUUGACAGGUGGGUUGGCUGUAGCAAGUAGCCUUUCGCUCACCUCAACAUGCCUACGCGACUGCCCGCCUACCUGCCUGCCUAUAAAACCACUUGGAAACCUAUAGUUUUAUCAAAAAAAAAAAAAAAACCUAUAAUUUUGAAAUAAAAAAUGCUAUUCGGCUGAUGAGGCAGGCAUAUGCAGGAAAUUUCGUGUUGGUACUUGUGUAUUACAUGCCCUCAUUUUUAAAUCAAAUUUAAUGUUCAUUAAUUGACUCCAUUUAAAUUAAACGUAAUAUACAUUUUCCCUUUUUAGGCUUAGAAAUUGCUAUUUUCUAAGCCUAAAAAUACAAAAGUGUGGUUCACGUUUUUAUUUCGCAUAACUUAAAAAAUUACUAUUAAAAUGAGGGCAUGUAAUACACAAGCACCUUCGUGUUUUUAAAAAUAGAACAAAUUUAAAGCCCGCGGGGUCUAAUUCUAAAAUAAAAAGCAUCAAAAAUAGCCGGAAAAUCGUCAAUUUCAUGCCUUCAGAUCUCAAAGAAUUCCCGUCUCGACACACCGUUUCAGAUAACAAUCUCUUACCAUCUUGAACAUUAUUGAAAACAGUGUGGAGGAUGAAGAGACGCAGAGAAAAAGACAACAUUCAGAGAUUGGAAUCUCGAAGAGAAAAGGAAAUUGGAAAGGUUCCAUUUUAGAAAAAUUUAAAAAAAAGGUUAAAAAAAUUAAUGAAUUUUUUUUACAAUAUUUCAAAAUAGAAGUUCAGUUCAUUUAAACUUUACCCCAACUGCACCGGAUGUUCGCUCGAAAAAAAUUAAAUCGAAAAAAAGUGUGACCUUUUGGAGCUGCGCUUUUGGAGCAACGAAGCGAACGAAAAUUUAAAUAAGGAGUCGAAAAUGUGUGCGAGAUUUGAGAUUUGGUUUUUGUUUAGAGGGAGAAAAUCGAGUUUUGGAAGAGGUAAAGAAGAAGAAAAAGCGAAAAACUUGAAGACUCAAGUGCUUUUUUUGGAAUAUUCUGGUUGGAAUGAAGUGAGAAAACCAAAAAGAAGAGAAAAGGUAACAACAACAAACAUCACAAGUAUGUACUACUGGAAUCUAGCUUCCAUAUCCAUGUAUGUUUUUUUGAAAGAAAAUGGGAAAUUUAUAAUAGUUCAAAUGAAAUUACCAAAUCAUUACUAUAUCAUCAUUUAUUUACUAUAUAUAAAGCGCUUAUUCCGUUUGUCCAUAGUUUGUAGUCUAUGUAGUCUUUGUAGUCUGUGAAGUUUUGGCUUCUGGAGGGAUAGUGAGUUGGGCUUAGUGUAGGGAUAUAAUCGGGGUGUUGUAGUGGUACAACAGGGUUACGGUAGGAGUACUGUAUGAUUACGGUAGUUUCAGAAAAAUUAGUUUUCAGUCCCAGAAGUCGGGGGCCGCGCCGGAGGUGCGGUCCACGGCUGGUUACUAUAUAUAAAGCGCUAUUCCGUUUGUCUCUGACGUCACGGGUGACGUCACAACAUUCAGCGCAAAAAUUUAAUUGGGAAAAUUUUGAGGCUACUUAUGAUGAAUGUGCACCCGACAUCGAUCGAGGUACGCGAUAAACCACUCGACACUUUCCGAAAACAUUUUGGCGGGAAUUCAAAUUUUAAUUUUCCGAAAACAUUUUGGCGGGAAUUCAAAUUUCAAUUUUUAGAACUCAUUUUGGCGGGAAUUCAAAUUUUAAUUUUUCGAAAACAUUCUGGCGGGAAUUCAAAUGUUAAUUUUCCGAAAACAUUUUGGCGGGAAUUCAAAUUUUAAUUAUUUGAAACCAAAUUCCAAAAAUUUGGAUUUUUUUAGACAUUUUUAACACCGCUGCAGAUUUGAAUUUCUAGAAUGUUCAAUUAAAAUGCCAAUGAAAAAAAAUUGAAAAGUUUAACUAUAAUAUUUGGUCACUUUUAGCAAUGAUUUUAUAUAAUUUAAAGUGGUUCCAUAGAACUUCGCAACUGACAACACUCCGCUAACAGGGCAAGUUCCACUAAUUUUUUUAAUUUGGAAAUUAUAAACCUUUUAUCAUUUAAAAAAAAAUUAUUGCUUUCUAUUGAAUUUUUAAUUAAAAGUUUGAAAAUGGGGCUCAAUUUAUUGUGCAAAUUCAGCAAAAACAUCUGAUUUGAACUUUCCACCGCACGCAGGCCUAGGUCACCUUGUGACUUUUUAUGCGUUAAUAUUAUAUACCUUACUAGUACUUAACUACUGACUAAAAAAUGAGCCAGUUCACAAAAAAAACAUGGAAAGAUUCUGGAAGCUUUUCAGAUUUUUUUUGAAAUUUUUUUUCGAUAUAAAAAAAAAAUCCAGCGUAUUUUAAUACCUCUCAACAUUAUUGAAACUAUCAAAAAUCUGCAAGCCACGCAUUUGGAACAUUUUUACUGUUCUUUUUAAUUUCAAAUUCACAAAAAUAAAAAUUCAGAUGCUCAAUUUUUGUGAUAAAUUUUUUCAAGACAGUACGAAAAAAUGCCAAAAAAAAAAAGCAAGCUUUCUAACAUUUUCAGAAGUCUCGUUGAAAAAUUUUUAGUUUUUUUGAAGAAUUUCAAAAGGUUUCGCUACUCCGCAUGUAAGAAGAAAUUGAAUACCAUAAAACUUCUCAGAUCCAGAAAACAUGAUUUGAUUCCAUAAGUCAUAUUCCAUAAUAGACUAUUUGAAAUCGGAAUUCGAAAUGAACCUCAUCAAAAGAAGAGCGGAUCAAAAGAAGCGUUUCAAAAGACAAUUAAACAUGACCCCCUCCCCUGAAUCUUUGUGAUGAGAACUUAUCAUACACGCUUUCGGCAAUAAUCAAACCAUAUAAUAGCCGUAAAUCUUUUAUCGACGAUUUAUAGCGACGGUGAGAAAAAGGGAAAUAAUGGAUAGUGAUAAUGAUGAAAAAGAUGAUAAGAAAUUGAUGGGUUACAGUUUUGAGAUUUGAAUUUAGAAAUUUGAAAAAAUUGAAAAAAAAAACAUUUCUUUAUUAUGAAAACUAUAAUAAUUGUAAAAAACUAUUAGAAAAUCGUUUAAAUCGCUACUAAGAAGGUGAGCAAAAACUCUUGAAGAAUAAGAACAGCUUCUGUACUAUUCGGGGAGUGCACAUGGAUUAGGUAGCAGGAAAAAAGCGGAUUAGACCCAGUGGAUUAGGAGUCUUCAACCGAAGGGAACGAAUCAUUGGAAGAAGGGUAAGAACUUAAUGAGGGAGAGGGUUAACCUAGAGGGUUUCCUAUAGGGAGAUUAAUUUGGUCAAUAUUAAUGUUAUUAGGUUUCAACACGAAAUUCUGUAAAUUUUGUGAAUGGUUUUUAUUGAAACUCUACUGAACAAUUCAAAAUGGAAACCUCCUCAACAUGAUAUUUAGUUGGCUAUGAUUCAGGUUAAAACAUGUGCUCAAUUCUCUUAUUUUUGUUUUGCCUUCAAUGAUUCCAAUCAGGGAUGGGCGGCAAACGAUUUUAUUUCCGGCAAAUCGAGUAAUUGCCGGAUUUGAAAUUAACGGCAAAUCGGCAAUUGCCGAAAAUUUUGGGCAAAUUGUGGUUUUCCAAAUUUUUUUUUGGAAGCUUCAGAAUUUUAACUUUACUCGGCAUAAUUGUACGCAUCCUAUGAAUGUUCUUACAUCUAAUUUAAAAAGUAAGCGAAUUUUAUCAAACUAUCUUGAGAAAACGGAAAAAAAAUUCAAAAAGGCACUGCUUCAAGUGUUUCCGUCUUUUGAAAAAAUGCCUCUAAAAACUUCCGGCAAUUUGAUGUUCGGCAAACGGCAAAUCGGCAAUUUGCCGAAAAUAAAAAUUUUAGGCAAAUCGGCAAACCGGCAUUUGACGCGCAAAAUAUCUCGUAGCGAAAACUACAGUAAUUCUUUAAAUGACUACUGUGGUGCUUGUGUCAAUUUACGGACUCGAUUUUUGAAAUGGAUUAAAAUCGAUGUAAUACUAAAAUUAGGCAAAAAAAAGAAACUAAUAAAAAGGAAAAUGGAAUAUCGGUCUCACAAUUCGAAAAUAAAUUCAUUUCAAAAAUCCAGCCCGUAAAUCGAUACAAACGCUACAGUAGUCAUUUAAAGAAUUACUGUAUUUUUCGCUACGAGAUAUUUUGCGCGUCAAAUAUGAUGUGCAAUACGCAUUCUCAGAAUUUAAUGUUUCCGUAAUAUCUAUUAACUGUUUAAGUAUUAAUUCUAAAUAGCCAUAUUCAAGAAAAACUCAAAGAUGAAAUUUGAAAACACAGAAAAUAAAAAAUGGAAAACGUGUUUUAAAAUGUGCAAGCUUAAAUGGCGCCUUCUGCCAAAAUAAGACAUAAGCCUCAGACAAACAUUUUAAGUUUUGCUCCGUUUGCUCAGCGAUUUUUCAAAAUUUUUGAUCUCCAUAAUUAUUAAAUUGCUAAAAAAAUUUAGAUUUGUCGAUUGUCGAAAAUCCAGAAAUCCAGAUUUCUGGCUUCCCUCAUAAAUUGAAAUGGAAGAGUUUGCCGAACUAGGCCAUUUUGGCUCGGCCAUAUCUGGGGUAGAUUUAAGGCGCGUUGCGUGUCGCGUCGCGGAUCGAUUUUAGUUGUAAAACUAAAUUUAUUUGUCCAUGUGGAGUACACGACACUUUCUCACGCGUUGUCCGGCAGGCGAUUGUCAAUGGAGCGCAAAAAAUUCAAUGAGGAAGGCCAGAACCCCGUGGGUUUUCGAAAUUUGAAAAUAUCGGUAAUUGCCGAUUUACAAUCAAAGUUGCACAAAAAAAUCACCUUGAAUUUGAAAAAGCAUUUGAACAAGUUGAAAAGAGCACCACAUCCCAACUCUCUUGUCCUAAUUGCUUUGCCUCCCUGAGGCGGAUCCACAUCAAUGAUCCAUCAAUCACUAUUACACACAUAAAGACACUUGGAAGACAGAGAGGCGCCGAGAAUAUCGGCAACUUGUCAAAACAGACGACACUUUUAAAGAGGAUAAUGAUCGAGGGGGAGCACAGGAGCCCGUGGAGAAUGUCAUUUGGAUAAUGGGAUCAGUUGGAAUGGGAAUGGAGCAGCUUAUAUUGAAUAGUUUAAAACAAAAUGAUCAUGACAGUUAUUGAGAUAAAUGAGUCAUUUCUAAUCAUAUAUUCUGAAUGGUUCUGAAGCCGGGCUGUUGGAAAUUUCGAAAUUUGUGAACAGGGUCACUGCAACUUUUUCCUCACGAGGGACGAGGAAAAGUGGUUUCUAGGCCAUGACCGAGGGGCCGACAAGUUUCAGCGGCCAUUUAUCUUGCUUUGUUUUCCGCCUGUUUUCUUUCGUUUUUCACCGAAUUUUUUUGUUUUUUCUUAAUAAAACUGAUAAAUAAAUAUUUUUUGCAGAUGCUAAAACAAUUUCCAAGUAAAAAAAUUAUGUAUUCAGUGGGCAAGCAGCGGUGAAAGUGGUCAAUGUAAAAUGAUGGAUUACGGGAAUACAAAACCUAAACUUUUUCUGAAACAUAAUACAUAUGCUGCUUAAAUGCUGAGACUACCUGAUUUUCAUAACGAGACCGCUGAAAAAGUUUUGAGCUUUUCAAAAUUCAACUUUUUGUGCGAAAAUCUCGACUUUUUCACCAAAAAAGUUGAAUUUUGAAAACCUCAAAACUUUUUCAGCGGUCUCGUUAUGAAAAUCAGGUAGUCUCAGCAUUUAAGCAUCAUAUGUAUUAUGUUUCAGAAAAAGUUUAGGUUUUGUAUUUCCGUAAUCCAUCAUUUUACAUUGCCCACUUUCACCGCUGCUUGCCCACUGAAUACAUAAUUUUUUUACUUGAAAAUUGUUUUAGCAUCUGCAAAAAGUAUUUAUUUAUCAGUUUUAAUAAGAAAAAACGGGAAAAAGCUGUGAAAAACGAAAGAAAACAGGCGGAAAACAAAUCAAGAUAAAUGGCCGCUGAAACUUGUCGGCCCCUCGGCCAUGGCCUAGAAACCACUUUUCCUCGUCCCUCGUGAGGAAAAAGUUGCAGUGAGGGUGGAAUCAAUUUUCGCAAAAAAAAAACUAAUAAAAGGUUAAUUUUUCUAAAAAAAAACGAAAAUUUCAGUCCUUUUACCUUUAGGGGUGAGCGGUAAUUGCCGUUCGGUGUAGACAAACUCGGUAAAUCGGAAAAAUUGCAGGUUUGCCGAUAAUUUAGAAUUUUUGAUUUGUGGUCUGAAAUUUCCAACAAAAUGUUUGUUUACAGUAGUCAUUUUAAGAAUUUCUGUAGUUUUCGCUACGAGAUAUUUUGCGCGUCGAAUGCCGGUUUGCCGAUUUGCCCGAAAUUUUGAUUUUUGGCAUAUUGUCGAUUUGCCGUUUGCCGAACAUCAAUAUGCCGGAAAUGUUUUUAGAGGGAUUUUUUAAAAGAAGGAAACACUUGAAGCAGUGCUUUUUUCGAAUUUUUUCAGAUAUCUUAAUAAAAUUCGAUUAUUUUUCAAAAUAGAUGUAGGAGUGUUUAUAGAAUACGUACAAUUUUGCUGAUUAAAAUUAAAAUUUUGAAAUUUCCAAAAAAAAAUGUGCAAAACCACAAUUUGCCGAAAAUUCUUUUUCCCUAAAUCAUUUAAAUAUUAAUUUUUAUUUAAAAAAAAUAAUAUUUUUGGCCAAAAAAUGUUAUAUAAAAAAUUAUGUUUUUUAAAUUUUCAACCUAGUUUGUUCUAGAAUUGUUCCACCUGAAAACCCUGAAAAUUGCAAUUUUCAAUCCAGUUUUUAUGUUUCAAUUUUAUUCUCUGCGAAAAAUUGAAAAAGGACAAAAAACGAAUGAAUUUGAUAAAGAAAUCAUCAAAAAAAAAUCGGGACAGUAAAAUAAUGAGAAAAAGGAAAAAAGAAUAAAAGAAAUCUUAUUAAAGAGAGAGAGCGAAAGAAAGAGCAGUUGAAAAAAAAAGUUCAAAUAAAAAUGCCGAAAUUUGUUAGGUGAGGGGGGGGGAGGGGGUCAACGGGGGGUAAUUUUCCAUGGGAAAUUCGCCCGUACUACUCGAAGUAGGACAAAAGAAAAGAAAAAUCAAAAGAGAAAAAGUAUUGGAGAUGAGGAGUGGGGGAGACAAUGAAAGCUGAAAAUACUGGAAAUAAAGAGAAUUUUAUCAAAAAAUGAAGAAAAAAUUUUUUAAAAAUUAUGCCUAUUUUCCGAUUCAAAUUAUGUAUUUUUCUGUUAUGCGGGGGAGGGAUAAAGACGAAGUAUAUUAUGUGCUCCGACACCGGAAAAAGAGCACAUAUUAAAGUAUUAAGAUUGUGUGUGUGUGUGUGUGAUGAUAACAAUAAAAAUGUGAAGGGGCUAAGAGACAAAACCUGAAAACGCACAAAAAAAUGACGACAUUUUUGCAAAAAAAAAGGUUUUGAAAGUGGUGGAAGGGGGGUAGAGAGAAUUCGAAUAUUAAUGAGUUUUCUGAAAAAGAAAUGAGCACUUCAAAAAUAAAUCUAUAGAUUGUUCGUCUCCUUGAUAUUUCCACGAGACGUGGAUCGUGCUGAAAAUUUUCGAAAAAUUAUUAUUAUUAGAGAUUUUUCAUAAGCUCAGAAUUUGGCUUUUUUUUGAAAAUUUUUUAUUUCUAUUUUUUUUCCUUAACUCAUCAAUUUAAAAAAAAUUUAAUUUGUUUUUUCACUUAAAUUUUUUUUUGUUGAUUUUGCGAAUUUCCUAAAUACUUAGAAAAAAUUUUUAUUUGAAAUAAUUUUAAUUUUUUUGAAAAAUUUAAUUUUUUCAAUUUGGCAAUUUUUUUCAAAUUUUCCUGAAUUUUUCAAAUUUGUGGAUAAAUUUUAAAAAUGUUUUUCCAAAUUUUUGAGGAAGUUGCUAAAAUAUCGAUUUUUUAAAAAUUGAUUGAUAAAAUUUUUUCUGUGGGUAUUUUUUAAAGCCUGUGUUUUAUCCAUUUUUUCACCUGCGAAUUUCAAAAAAAAUUUUAAAAACCAAUUUUUUUUGAUUUCUCAAAUUUCUCUAUUUUUUCCUAAUUUUUAUCUCAAUUUCACAAAAAAAAUUCUAAAUUUUCAACUUUUUUCUUUCAAUUUUUGAAUAUUUCAAUCACUUUUUUUCUACAGUUUCUGGAUGUUUUUUGAAUAAAAUCCGGGAUUUUCUUUCUCAAAAAUCUGAAAUUAAAUUUAAAAUAUUUUUAAUAACUCUAUAGCUUCUCGUCUUUCUUUUUGAACGGUUUUUUUUUAAUUUUUUCGAUUUUCUUUCAAUUUGGCAAUUUUGUUUUACUUUUUUCGAAUAAAUUUUCACAUUAAAAAAUUUACACAAGUUUUUAAAUUUUGUGGAUAAACUUUUUUUUUAAUUCUCCAAUGGUUUUCCAAAUUUUUGAUUAUCGAUUUUUUUUUAAUUUUAAAUUUUUUUUUGUUGGUUAUUUGAAAAGUCCGUUUUUUUAAAACAAUUUUCUUCACCUACGAAUUUAAAAUUUCAAAAAAAAAACCUUUUUUUCGAUUUUUCGGAAAAUUUCAUGAUUUUUCUAAUUUCUCUAUUUAUCAUAAUUUUUAUCUCAAUUUCGAAAAUUUUUUUCAUUCAAUUUUUGAAUUUUUAAAUAACAUUUUAUCUACAAUUUCUGGAAUUUUUAAUUCAAUUUGUAGAAUUUUUUUGAAUAAUUUCCGGGAUUUUUUCACUUAAACAAGUUUAAUUUAUCUUUUUUUUGAAUAAAAAAAUAUUUUUGAAUCAUUAAAAUUUUUCAAUUUGGCGAUUUUUGUAUUUCUUAAAGUUUUUCGGAAUUUCCACAAUUUUUUCGGAAAUAUUCAGUUUCAAUAAAAAAUCCAAACUCACAGCGAUUUUCCGAGUCGACUUGAAGUCGUAAUUGCCGACUAAUCUCACGAAGUCGGGCGGCCGAUUGUCCAGUCAAACUAGGCUCACGACGAUCGAGUCCGGCUUGGAAGGCCUUCACGACGCGAAUCUGAAAAUGGAUUCGGGUUUUAGUCUUAGUUGGAAGGCCAUAUCGAAAAAAUAUUAAAUGUUGUGAUAGACAGAGUGAGCAGAACACCAAUUAGAACAGAAAACUGAGAGCAGCAAGAUCAUCAGCGAUAUAUAUACAAGUGUUUAUGUGUGUCACUGCAACUUUUUCCUCACGAGGGACGAGGAAAAGUGGUUUCUAGGCCAUGACCGAGGGGCAGACAAGUUUCAGCGGCCAUUUAUCUUGCUUUGUUUUCCGCCUGUUUUCUUUCGUUUUUCAUCGAUUUUUUUCGUUUUUUCUUAAUAAAACUGAUAAAUAAAUAUUUUUUGCAGAUGCUAAAACAAUUUCCAAGUAAAAAAAUCAUGUAUUCAGUGGGCAAGCAGCGGUGAAAGUGGGCAUUGUAAUAUGAUGGAUUACGGGAAUACAAAACCUAAACUUUUUCUGAAAGAUUUUGGCACAAAAAGUUGAAUUUUGAAAACCUCAAAACUUUUUCAGCGGUCUCGUUAUGAAAAUCAGGUAAUUUCAGCAUCUAAGCAGCAUAUGUAUCAUGUUUCAGAAAAAGUUUAGGUUUUGUAUUCCCGUAAUCCAUCAUAUUACAAUGCCCACUUUCACCGCUGCUUGCCCACUGAAUACAUAAUUUUUUUACUUGGAAAUUGUUUUAGCGUCUGCAAAAAAUAUUUACUUAUCAGUUUUAAUAAGAAAAAACGUGAAAAGCUGUGAAAAACAAAAGAAAACAGGCGGAAAACAAAGCAAGAUAAAUGGCCGCUGAAACUUGUCGGCCCCUCGGCCAUGGCCUAGAAACCACUUUUCCUCGUCCCUCGUGAGGAAAAAGUUGCAGUGUGUUUAUGUGUGUGUAGGUCACAGGCCGUGGGUGGCUAUUUUUUUUUGUUGGAAAUUUUUAUUUAUUUAGGGAUGUUAUGUUUAACCAAUAUAUCUCAUUUAGAAAUUGGGGUCAAAAUUAAAAAAAAAACAAUUUAAUAGAUCUAAAAAUAGCUUGGUUGUUUAAAGGAGGACUAACGGUUCGGGCGAGGCACCACGGUUUCAAGAUCUGGCGGGAUUCUGGAUCUACCAUUUCCGGAGAUCUGGCACCGUGCCAACUCUUAAAACGCUAUUUUUCUAGGAGAAAAACGUGACAACGAUGAUGCUCCGUUGUUACGCGUCGCGUGUUGUUAAGCGUUUCUUUUAGAAGAAAUUUUCAAAAAAAAACAACGUGCGUCGUGUGAAUAAAAAAGCGUUUUGUGCGUUGGCACAGUGCCACCAGAUCCGGAAAACGUAAAUCCGGAAUUUCACCAGAUCUUGAAAACGUGGUGCGUCACGAAUUUCGUAAUGAAACUUCUCAAAAAUGUUUCAAAUUAUUUUUAUAGUUCCAAAAAAUUACGCUAAUGUUAGCUAAACUCUCGAAUUUUCCCCCUUUUUCCGUGUCGCAUCUGUCCGAAAUUGAUUUUUUUUGUAAAUUAUUAUCUUUUAUUGUAUAUUUUGGUAGUUUAUCUCAUUUUAUUUCAUUGUGAUGUACAUUUAAAGCCGAUAGGUAACCAAUUUCCAUGAUUUUUGGUUACACCUAUCGGCUUUAAGCAUACUUUAAUAAACGAAAUUGAAUGAGAUAAACUAUCAAAAUAUGGAAUAAAAUAAUGAUAAUUCAAAAAAAAAAAAAAGUCAACUCCGGGCAGAUGUGUGACACGGAAGAGUGGCCAAAAUUCGAGAUUUUAGCUAAAAUUAGCGUAGUUUUAUGGAAAUUUUGAACCACCAUAAAAAUUUUUUUGAAAAGUUAUUUAAGAAGUUUCAUUGCAAAAUGCGUUCAUGUGAGCACAUUUCGUGUCUAUACGUUCAAAAUCGUCAUCACCUAUCACUUAUGAGUAUUUUAUUGUUUCAAACUGUAAUACCCAGAUAUAUUAUUUAGAAAGUAAUAAGAAAGUACGAAAUAAUUCCAAAAAGCACGGGAAAAUUAGACUGAAAACGCUUAAAAACCCACUGGACUUUUUGGAAAUAUUUCGUUCUUUUUUAUUAUUAUACAUCAUUCUAUAUAAUAUGACUGAUUAUGACUACAGUUGUAAGAAAGUAAUUUCACAAGUGAUAGGCCACCACAAUCAAAGUUAUAGCUAUUUUCAGAUCGACUAAAUAUGUAUAUAUUGAGACACUAAUUUCUUGUAAAUGAGAGAAAUAAUGGUCAAUCAAAUCAAGCCAAAAUGGGUUGAAUUGCCAAAAAAAAAAAAUAGCUGCCCACCACUGAUUUGUGUACUAACUACCGAUUGAUAAUAUUAUUAUUAUUCUAAUUAUUCUAAUAAUGAAAAUUCAAAAUAUUAUUGAAAAUUGUUUCGUUUAGUUUAAACUACCGGGACGUGGACAUUUUCUGUCUACAAUUUACUGUAUUAAAUUGAAAUUUCUAAAAACUUCUUAUUAGUUCCUCCAAAAGGUGCCAAUUUCGGCAAUGUUUUCAUUUCGAAACGGUUCCUUCGCUUUUUGUCGACAAUGUACCGAAUUUGUACUUUAAUCCACAAAACUAUAUCAGAAAUGUGCGAAAAAGCCAAGUAACUCAGUGAAAAUUGAUUUCCAACCGUUUCAAAGUGAAAAAUUCGCCUUUUUCAAGGAAUUCUGUCUUGUGGGGCCCGUUUUUCACAAAAAUUUUAUGAUUUUGAAUCGAAAAUCAACACAAUUUGUGUGAAUUUUCCGCCGCCGCUAGGAACCUAUUAGUUGUUUUUUGUUAGAAAGAGAGAGAAGGGGGAAGAGUCAUCACACAGAAAACUCGAGAAGUACACACUAUUAUAAAAACUCUUGUGAUUUGGUAUAGGGUGAUAACUACUGAAUUCGUCAACUGAAAAUAAUUUAGAUAAAACCAAAAAAGGGUGAUUGUGUUAUUUUUCAGAAAAAAAAAAAGAAAUUUUCAACUAAUAUACUGAUUCUUCUACGGGGUGUUCAGUGGGGAGGGUCUCUAAGAUUUUUAUUCAUAUAUAUUUAAAAUUAAUCUAGAAUAUUUUUUUCAAAAAUUUUAAUUUAAAAAAAAACUAUAAUAAUGUUCUUAUUGCAUUGCGGGUUCCACAGAAAUAUUUUUUUGCAGAUAAGCCGACGCAGCUCGUGUAACCUGCGAGGAGAAGAGAAUUUGAAUUUUUUGAGCUAAAUUUUUUGAUGUUGGACUUUUUUAUGUUUGAAUUUAACAAUAGAAACACCAAUUAGUAUCUCUUUUUGUAGGACUUUUUUUAAUGAAAAUAUAUAUGAAAUAUAUAACAGCAACAAGAAAAUUAGCUAAAAUGGUCCAAAGUCAAGCAUUUUAGCGGAAAAAAAACUGUAAGCUUCUACUCUCCUCGCAAAAUUAACGAAAUUUUAGAGUUUUUCAGUGCUGAAUUUAUAAAUGUUUCAAAAACAUAUUUUGAAAAUUCAAAAAACUGCCAAAAUAAAAAAAGCCUAUGGAAUAUCUCGAAAAUAUAUUUCUGUGGAAAACACAAUACGAUUAUGGGAUAAUUCACGCAAUGUCGAUAAAUGAUGCACGUGGUGGUGUCAGAAUGUCUUAUUUCGGCUUGAUCUACGUAGAUCUACAAAAAAUGCGGGAGAAGAGACACGCAGAGUUCUCUCAGCUGAUUUCGCAUGGUUAAGAACGUGCUGACGUCACAUUUUUAAGUGCAAAACAUUCCCGCAUUUUUUGUAGAUCAAACCGUAAUGGGACAGCCGCCUGGCACCACGUGCUAAUGUGAAGUUUCAAAAUGUCUUUCAAUACAUUUUGUGACAUUGCACGAAUAACUCCAUUAAAGGUGGAGUACCGAAAUCUGUGAGUUUGCUUUUUUAGACCCAAAAUGGUCCAAAACUACCAAAUUUCGUAAUGAGACGUUCUGAAAAUUUCUCAAAAAAAAGUUAUGGCCGCUCAAAGUUUUGGAAAAAAUGGCCCAUUUUUAGCUAAAAUCUCAAAUUUUGGUAUUAUUUGAUUGCCAUCUUUUAAUGCAUGUUUUGGCAUUUUAUUACGUGUUAUUUCGUUGAUUGAGAUGCUUUUUCCGUCGAUGGGUGCACAAAUAUGACACAAUUUUGUGCACCCAUCGACCGAAAAAGCAUCUCUAUCAACGAAAUAACACGUAAUAAAAUGCCAAAGCAUGCAUUAAAAGAUGGCAAUCAAAUAAUACCAAAAUUUGAGAUUUGAGCUAAAAAAGCACACUUUUUUCCAAAACUUUGAGCGGCCAUAACUUUUUUUGAAACAUUUUCAGAACGUCUCAUUAUGAAAUUCGGUGUUUUCAGACAAUUUUGAGUCCAAUAGAGCCACGAAAAAAAUUCGACUACACCACCUUUAAGUAACAAAAAAACAUGCCAAAUAAAUUGAUUCAUAUCUCUUAAAAUCUCUUUUAAAAAACUAUUAAAUUUGAAUACUAACUAGUAAGUCGUUCUUAUUUGUUUUUUUGUUUUUCGACUAUUCGAUUUAAUCACAAAAGCUUGCAUACAACGACGACUAGUUUUUCACAAAAACUCGACACAACACGACAUCUACGGGGGCGGGAGGUGAUUCGUCAUUCUCCAUCAUCCAGAAAAUCAAUUAAAAAAAAAAACAACAACAUCAACGUCAUUCUCUGAUUACGUAUGUCAGUCGAAGAAGAAAAUUUCAAUCAAUCAAUAUUGAGUAAAAACCGUUAAUCAGGGGAAAUAAGUAAAUGAGUAUGCGGGGGUGUAUAUCUUAUAGAGGGGGAUGUGGGGGGGGGGGGAGUCUUACUGCUUGAUCAGUCGGUGCACUGCUCAACGGCACCGGGAUCAGAUGAUCCGAGCGCUCUCCGCCAAUAACCUGUAAACUUUUUUGAGAUGUGUUGCAGAAUAUGCAUCAUCUCAGCGUUUUCACACCAUCAUUUCUCAGACCGACGGGAUUUUUUGUUGGAUCUAUAUAUUAGACACAAUUUUCGCACUGUUCGUGCAGGUUGAAGAGAGAGAGAGAGAGAGAGAUAUGAUAGGAAAAGAUGCUGGAAAUAUAGGAAACUGUGUGGUUUUUGUGGUGUGUGUAUAAGCAUGCGUCUAUAUUUCAGAUUUCAUUAUGAUGUAGUAUGUCAAAUUUAAACUUUCAUACAAGAGGAAUACAAUUUAUUUUGUUGCUUCAAUAUGUCUAAAAUUACCCAAAAACAUUUAAUUUCGAUAUUAAAAAACCUUUCAAAUAUUACGGGAACACAAACUUCUGAGAAUGCGUACGUAGAGCAUUUUAUUUGACGCGCGCGAUAUCUCUCAGCAAAGACUAAGAGUAAGAACUCAAAUAACUAUUGCUAUCUAAGUUCUUACUGUAGUUUUCGCUAAGAGAUAUCGCGCGUCAAAUAAAAUGCUCGACGUACGCAUUCUCAUGAUUUAUUGUUCUCGUAAUAUUACGGGAACACAAACUUCUGAGAAUGCGUAUUGCACAACAUAUUUGACGCGCAAAAUGUCUCGUAGCGAAAACUACAGUAAUUGUUCAAAUGACGAUUGUAGAGCUUGUGUCGAUUUACGGGCUCGAUAGCGAUUUUUUAUUCUUCUUCUUUUCUUCGUAUUAUUUUCUCAUUUUUUGCUAAAUUUUAAUAUUAAAAUAUUAAAUUGAGGAAAAAAUUAUUUGAAUUAAUUUUUAAAAAGUCGAUCCCGUAAAUCGACACAAACGCCUGUCAGUAGCCAUUCAAAGAAUUACUGUAGUUUUCGCUACGAGAUAUUUUGCGCAUUAUCAGAAUUUCGUUUUAUUACACAAUUGCGAAAUUUUCGAAAAUUUUGCUCAAAAAUACGGACCCCACUCUUGCCACAAGCAGUAUUAUUUCCAAUUCAAGGCUGCACAUAUGCGCCUUUGAGAACUACAGUAACCCAAAAAGUGUAUUUAGGUUACUGUAGUUUUUAAAAGCGCAGUAUUCAGUGAGGACUCACAUUAAAAUUUUUACUGUUCGUGGCAAGACCGCGCGUACCGUAUUUUUGCACUAAAAUAGCAAAAUUUUCGCAAAUGUGUAAUAAAUCAACAAAAAUUUCGGAAAAUAAAACUUUCGAUCGCUUCGAUACGGAAAAAAGUACAAAAUUGUAAAAUUAGAAUUUUUUUCAAAAUUUUGAAUUGUCGAAAUAAUUUUUAUUUAUUAAUUAUUAUUAAUUUCCCCUCCUGUAAAUCGAUGCAUACAAAAGUCAUUAGUUUUUUAUUUCAAAAAUCAUCAAAUACAUUUUAAAAGUCUAAAAAAGUGGUGGUUGACAAAAAAAAAAGAAAAAUAUAGCCGAAAAAACAUACUAAAAAGUCCGUUGUUAAAAAAGAGAAAACUGAAAAAAAAAAACAAAGGAAACAUGGGGCAAAAGAGCAAGAUUUUAGGCGUUUUUUAAUGAAUAAUCGAAACAAAAUUUGAAGAGCAUAAAAAUAACCAUAGAAAUCUGAAAAAAGUGUCUAAAAAGUUAGGUCAAAUUAUUUUUAAAAAUUUUUUUGAGGAGACACACACUUUUCAAAGAGUGGGCGGCUACCGUAACCAUUCCUUGUCAUAUUGGAAAGUGAUUCUUGGAAAUUGCACAAAGUAUUAAUUGAUUUUUCUUGAAAACUAGAGUGUUUUGCAACGGCAUGGGGAAAGGGGGGGACAAUCUACCAGUAAAACAAAAUGUAAAAUUAAAUAAAAUUGAAAAUGUCAUGAAAGAUUGGGUGAAAAUAAUCUGGUCUAGAGAUGAUGAUAGCUAAGUACUUUGAAAUAAUGAGUUCAAAUAUAUAUCUUGAAAAAAAGACGGUGUACACGAUAAUUACUACUGUAACUGAAAAGACGGGGAUUGGGUGAGGAAUUGAAAAAAAAGAUUUUAAAAAAUCUCUAUUUCAAAAAGAAUUACACGUGAGCAACAGAAACUGGAGUAUCAAGAGACAUGCUCUUGUUGAUGCUUCGCUGUGUUUGAGUAUACGAAGAAUUUGUGUCCGGAGACCAUUGCUGCACCAGCGGUACUUUUUCGGUUUUUCCAUUCGUUUCGGCUUUUGGUGCUGCUGCCGCCGCCGUCGCUGCUUGUCCAUUAUUCCCCGAUGAUGUUCCAUUCUCCACCACAAUAUGUGGUUGUGGAGACGGAGUCCGUGGCUGCUGGUGAUGAUAGUAUGGGUACGGCUGUGGCGAUUGCCUGUGCGUGAUUGCAGCCAUCGCAAUACGUUGUCCGGCUGGUUCUGGUGAAGCGGCUGUCGUUGUGUGCCGUCCACCGCCGCUCCAGAAUCCUCCACGCAUUGAUUGAACCGAGUGUGUGGAGGCGAUCGAUCGUCGCUCAUCGAAUUCUUCUAAUGAUGAUCGGAAUGCUUUGACGACUCGUAACUGAAAAUUAAUGGCACAUUAGAACAAUUAUAAAAGGGGCGCUUUGUCAUUUGAAAAAAACGAAAUUUCUGAAUGGUCAAGAGAAUUGUGGGACAAAUUAUACAUUUCUUGAAGUAGAAAUAUUCCGAAUUAGGAAUGAAAUUAUUCCCAAUUUGAUGUUUUAACAUAAUUUUUUGACUUCAAAUGCCUGAUUUUGCAAGUUAAUGUUGUCUUCGAAACUAUAGCUUUGUGAAAAUGAGAGUUUUUUUUUUUUUAAUUUUUGUCUUCACAACUUCACUUCAAAACUCAUUUCCACAUAGCGCAAAUGAUUUUUUCCGGCAAAACGACAAACUGCCGGAAUUGAAAUUUCCGGCAGAUCGGCAAACCGGCAAUUUGACAAACAGUGCCCCUGAAGUAGUAGGUCAAAAUUUGAAGUCAAUUAUAAUUUCUUAACAUUUUGUUAUUAACAUUGAGCAAGCCUUCAGAAAAUAUAUAUUUUUCGUCGUAUAAAAUUCUCUUGACACAUUUUGUUGAAAAAUCGAAAUUCGUGACAAAACCCAAUUACAUAUAAUUUCGUAGGUAAAAACGAUGAAAACAAUGGAAAAAUGAACGAGAAAAAAAAAGAAAAAAAAAAGAAAAAAAGAAGAAUGUGUGAACCCUCUUCCUCCUCCUCCUCUCAUCAAAAAUUCCUCCGUAAAGAGGACUUAGAAGUUUCUAUACCCUCCGAAAAAAAAACACAAUUUUCAGCGAAAAAUGAGCAACACACUCCGAGAGAGAGAGAGAGAGACGAGCAGCGAGAAGAAAACCAGUGUUAGUAUUAUUAUUAUGAUUUUGUUUUAAAAAUUAUUGUUUGAUUAAUGGUGGUAGUAUGUGGUUGUGGGGAGGUAAAUGACAGCCAAAAAUUGGGGUUUGUAGGGUUCUUUUGUGAGUAAAAAGCAACAAAAUUUGAAAUCCCAGGUUAAAAUAAACGAUUUUGAGUGUGAGUAGUUUUUUGUGUGGCUUUUUUUUAUUUAAAAGAGGAAUAACUGAUCUAAAUUUGUACUUUGUUAUAUUUACUCAAAAAGACCCAAAGAUACCGAUUUUCAUAAUGAGACUUUUCAAAAAUUCCAAAAAAGUCACUUUUAGCUAAAAAUUUUCCAAUUUUGCCCCCGCUUUUCAAUGAAUGUAACACAGUGGCUGGAAUUUGUAUUUUAUAUGAUUAUUGACUAUUUUGCAUAUUUCAUCGAUUAUAUGAUUUGCACUUUUCCUUGGUGGUCAGGUGCAAUUUCAGUCAAUACAAACCAAAUUUGGAUGCCUAUGAACUGAAAUAUUACCUAAAUCUCAACGAAAUAGCGUAAGAUAAACGACCAAAAUAUGCAAAGAAGGGGGCAAUAAUCGAAUAAAAAUCAACUUCCGGCAACAGUGGCACUGAAAAGCGGGCAAAAUGGAAGAUUUUUUUUAAGCUAAAAUUGGAUUUUUGGCCAGCCUCAUUAUAAAUUGUGUCCGUUGAGGCCAAAAUUAAAAAAAAAACACAAAUACUACUUCGCUCUUUAAAGGUGGAGUACCGAAAUCCGAGACUUUGCUUUUUUAGACCCAAAAUGGUCCAAAACUGCCUAAUUUCGUAAUGAGACAUCUUGAAAAUUUCUCAAAAAAGAGUUAUGUCGGUUUAAAGUUCUGGAAAAAAGGCUCAUCUUGUGCUAAAAUAAGAAUUUUUGCCAUCUUCUCGCUGUCGCAGCGUCUAGAACUUAAUUUUUAUUUAUACUUAUUAAAGAGUGAUAAUUAAAUAAAAAUUAAGUUCUAGACGACGCUGCGACACCGAGAAGAUGGCAAAAAUUCUUAUUUUAGCAGAAGAUGAGCCUUUUUUCCAGAACUUUAAACCGACAUAACUCUUUUUUGAGAAAUUUUCAAUGAUGUCUCAUUACGAAAUUAGGCAGUUUUGGGCCAUUUUGGGUCUAAAAAAGCAAAGUCUCGGAUUUCGGUACUCCACUUUUGAAAAAAACCCUGCACAUUUCCAAUGUUAGUUGGUUUUCAAGUCAGCCGAAGAUUGCCGAGCACGAUCCGUCGAUUUGGCGAAAAAGGUUAAUAGUAUAAUAAGUGCAUGCUAAACGAAAUUAAAUCAAAUUAUCAUCAUCAUCAUCAUCAUCAUCCGAAGAAAUGAAAUAAAAAAGAGUGGUGCAUCUCAAUCCAAUUCGUGUGGCCCUAAAAAUUCCCAAAAAAAAAAACUCCCAAAGCAUGUUUAAUCCUAUAAAAGCACUUUCAGAAUUAAGCCUGGGGGUAAACAUCGGGUGUUGCUCAUUUUGCUCAAAAAAUUCAAAAAAAAACCAAAUUUCCAAACAAUUGAGGGAGAAGGAGGAUGAAGGAGGUAAAAUGACACACGGGAGGAUUCGCGUUUGUUUUUUUUUAAAUUAAAUCUAAUUAAAUCUAAUUUUUCAAAAUUCCCAAUUCAAUUUUUUAAAAUAAAGUUCUGUGUCCGCUUUCAACAACAACAACAAUCAUUGCAAAAUAGGGGAAAAAAUUGUCUCUUUUUCAAGAAAAAAGGAGCAAAAAUGACGCACACGCACACGAGAAAAAAAACCAAACAAUAGGGAGAAAAUAUGCUGCUCUCGAAGUAUAAAUAUAUAUAUAUAUAGUUUUACCUGUACAACAACUUUGCUGAAAAAGUGAGGUGAUAGAGGAGUUCCACAGCCAAUUUUCAUAUAUAUAUAUAGAGGUUCAUGUACGGAGGUGGAAGAGGAGAAGGAAGACACACACACUACACAACAUUGGGUUUUUUUUUUUUUUUUUUGGUUUUUUUGUGUGUGUUGCAGAAAUUAUAUUCUACUUGUGUAUGUUUGUGUGUGUGUGUGUGUUAUUUUUUCUGAUAAUUCAGACCACAUUUUUCUAUUUUCUAAAAUAAAAUAAAAUAAAAAAGGUAUGCGUAUAUAGGGGUAAACCAAGUAAUAGAUAAGGGCUAAUAAUAGAACUUCUGGUAAUGGCAACUUGUCGAUUUACGAAGCUCGUGUACUACUCCUCGAGGAUAAGAGGAUUUUUUCGUUUACUUUAGCCUUGAUUUUGGGCAACUUUACAAGCUUGAAAACGGACUGAAUUUUUCACAUUUUUGUUUUAAACGUUAAUUUUACAGAUGUUUUUCUAAUGCUUUUGAUGUUGUUGUCAGACUUUCGGUUUUUCUUUUGCAAAACUAAAAAAAAUGAUUAAAUUUUCCAAAUUUUCAGUUUCUUUUUUUGUGAUAUACCAAUCAUAAGUAUUUUAAAAUGGACAUAAUAUCUUUAAAAAAUAGAGGAACAUCCAAAAAUUAUUAAAAAAUGAACAUUUUUCUCGAAAAACCAAAAAGAAACUUCGUUUUUUUUUUUACGAAAUUCAAAAAAAAUUCACUUUUUUUUUUGUUGCAAUUACGGUCAAAAACUUCAAAGGGAAUUCUCCUCGUGGAGUACACAGCCUGCGUAAAUCUACACAUGGCAGUGUUAGAGGUUUUCUACGGCCAUUCUUCCACUUUUUUUGAUAGCUUGAAGCUCGUCUCAUCCGUUGCCAUUAGCCGGAAAUUCCAUUUUAUAUAGAUUUUUUGACGGAAUUUUUCCCAACAUAUAUAUAUAAUAUUUUUUUAUAAAUAAUUACAUAACUGUUCAUGCCAAUAUAUAUUCUUAUAAAUUGUGUGAAGUAGAAACCACACACACACCACAAAACACACACUUUUCCAGAGUUCAUUUCCAUAAAUAUACAUAUUUCUUUCUAUUUUCCUCAUAUCUUUCUCCCGCCUCUCGCUGGUGACGCCUUUUGCUCUAAGAGGGUGUUGCUCAUAUAUUCGAAUUGGAAAAAAUUAAAAAAUUUUGAGAAAAAAAAAUUUUUCAGGGUUUUUUUUUGGAGAAAAGGAAGAAGAAAAGAGGCUUCAUUCUUCUUUUUUUUUUCUUUUUUUUUCUUUUUUUUUUCUGUCAUUUUUUCCAUUGUCCCAUUAUUUAUAUUUUUAAUUGAAAAAAAAUAAACUGAAAGCUGAGAGAAUUGAGAAGAGAGAAGCAACUGAAUAGAAAUUAAAAGGAAAAAUUAUAAUUAAAAAUUUUUUUUUUUCGAUUUUUCGCUUAAAAGUAUGUCUGAAAUUCCCGGUCUGAAGAAGAUUUUCUCUGAAUUUUUUAAAAGAAAGUUGUCCUGAAACUAACCUGAGUCUGCAGACGAGUCAAUCCACGGACCCAAAGAAUUUGUCCGGAUCUCUUUUCGUGAGUAUCGGAAUCCUCAUAAUCUGGCAUUAAUGGAUCAUUUGUUGGAGCUUCACCGGAUCCGAUGGUCAUGUUGGCUGGAAGGGAUCCUGUUGGAAUGCUCGUGACGAUCUGGAAUUUUAGAAUAAUUUUUUGAGAUUCGUUAUUUAUACUAGGAAUGGCGGCUAAAAAUCGAUUUUUUUAAUAAAAUAAAGCUUAUUCUUAAAAGUUAUCAAAAAAAAACGCAAUUUUCAAAAAAUUGAUUAUUUUAGCUGAAAAAUUCAUCUAAGAUUUUUUUUUUUGAAAAAAAAAACGAUUUUUUUAUAUUUUAAAUUAAUAUGUUUGGUAAUGGUUAAAAUGUUCACUUUUUGAUUUUUUCUGAAACACCAAAAAAUUUUUUUAAAAAUCGAAAUAAAAAAUAAGUUUUUUACACAUUUGCAUAAAAAAUUUUCUAAAAUCGUUUAUUUCGGUUUUCAAAAUUUUGUUUGUGAAUAUCGUAUAAAUUUUUUUCUAAUUUUUUGAAAAAAUUUUUUGGCGCGUUUUAGAAAAAACGAAAAAUAUUAAUUUUAAUGAUAAAAAUUAUCGUCUUUUUGCAGAAAAAAAAAUCGAAAAUGAAAAAUUGAAUACUUUAUAGAUUUUGUGGUAUUUUCCCAAUUUUUCGGCAUUUCUCCAAUUUUUUUGAGAAAUAUUUUUUAAAACCUGUAAAUUCCAAAAAAAAUUCGAUUUCAGCUGAAAAACUCAGAGAAAUCGGAAAACAAUAGAAUAUGUUUUCAGAAAAAAUUCUGAAAAAUCGAAUUUUUUGGAUUUUCUCGGGAAAAAAAAACCAAAAAAUCUGGAAAAAAAUUCAUUGAAUAAAAAAUGAAUUAAUACGCAGAAAAUCGACUUUUUAAAGCUUUUUUAUAUGGUAAAAAAAACACUGAAAAACUCUUAAGCCCCCACCUGUCCCCAAAGAAGUGUUCCAACUCCGAAAGCCAGACACCAAAGCCAUUCUGUGGUGUUCAACGCUGAAGUACUGAACCAGCGACCUCCGAAUUGAAUAAUAACGACUUGAGAGAUCAUAGUGGCAAUCCAGAUAACAUAAUAGAUCGGAUUCGAGAACAAUCCCUUGAAAAUGUUACGUUCUCCGUGAAUCUUACGAGCGUUGAUCUCAUUGAAGAGGGUCAUCAUGACGAAUGUAUUAAAUACAAUAGUGAAAUGUUUCGAUGGUGGAGAGUGGAGUGGAGCCCAUCGCCCAGAUGGAAUAUUAAAGCACACUUCUCCGUAGAAGAUCAGCGUGAAAAGAAUGACGAGUUGAUAUACAGCAUGUCCGAGGAUAUUCUUGCACAUUGUUCUCGAGAUGAGUGGAGAAGUACGUCCAUAUGGUUUUCUUUUGAGCAACUCUUCAGUUGGCAUUUCAGUGGCCAGCGCCAACGAGGCAAGCGUGUCCAUUAUAAGAUUAACCCAAAGCAUCUGAACAGCCUUGAGUGGAGUAUCUUGAAUAGCGCAGGCACCGACGAACGCAACUACGACGGCGACAACGUUGACGGUCAGUUGGAAUUGCAAGAAUUUAGCGAUCGAAUCGUAGACAUUACGUCCCCACAUCACUGCCUUAACAAUUGAAGUGAAGUUAUCGUCAGUCAGAAUAAUAUCAGAAGCCUCUUUGGCGACAUCAGUUCCAGCAAUUCCCAUAGCAAAUCCGACAUCAGCCUUCUUGAGAGCAGGUCCAUCAUUAGUUCCGUCUCCAGUUACAGCGACGACUUCUCUUGAAUCAGUGACACGAGAAUCAAUGAUUCCCUUAACCAGAACAUAUUUGUCAGAUGGCUGAGCACGAGCCAAGACACGAAGCUUUGGCCAGAUCAAGUCGAGCUUCUCCUGUGAGACUUCUCCAUUUUCAUCACGAAUUCUGGCGUUGAAUUCUUUGCCCUCCAAUGCGAUAAAGUCCUCUCCGGGUUUCAAGAUUCCGCAGGCGGUGGCGAUGGAUCUGGCGGUAUUGAUGUUAUCUCCGGUAACCAUUCGAACUGUAAUUCCGGCUUCCUGGCAACGAGUGAUGGCGGCUGGAACUUCUGGACGAACUGGAUCCUGGAUUCCCAAGACAGCGAUGGCGGUCAUGUCUCCAACAAUCAUUUCUUCAUUCUCCCAAUCUGGCUCCGAUGAAUAGGCGAUUUGAUUGUCAGCAGUCUUCUUGGACGAUGGCACAUAAUCCUUGUAAGCCACACAAAUCGUACGAAGUCCAUCAGAAGCCAUUGGCUCAAUCACAUCACGAACUAGAUUUUCAGCGUCUUUCGAGCUGAACUUGGUGAGAGUGCCAUUCUUUCCGAGGAAAUACUUGCAUCGUUUGGUGACAAUUUCCGAUGCUCCCUUGCUGAACACACGGUAUCCUCCAUCGGGGAGAUUGAUGACAGUUGACAUGCUCUUUCUCACUGAAUUGAAGGUGUAAACUUUUGGAAUUGUCUCUUCCGGAUGGCGAUCACGAAUCUCUUGAUACGAUUUUCCAAGGGCAAGUACGAAUCCAAGCAUACCACAUUCUGUCUUAUUUCCAAGCUGGGUGGCUUGUUCUCCGAGUUGUUUUGGUGGAAUAACUUGAGACGAGUACGAGGAAUUGAUUGAAAUACAGUCCAUCAUGAGUUUAGCGGUAUUCUGAUCCAGUGACUCGAUCUUUGGAGUAUCCUUGUAAUGAACAUCAUUGACAAACGAUUGAACAACAGUCAUUCGAUUGGUGGUGAGUGUUCCCGUUUUGUCAGAACAAAUUGCAGUGGCAUUUCCCAUUGUUUCACACGCGUCCAAGUGACGAACCAAAUUAUUGUCGAGCAUCAUUUUCUUGACCGAAUAGGCAAGAGAAAGAGUAACAGCAAGUGGAAGUCCUUCUGGAACGGCGACGACCAACACGGUGACUCCGAUGAUGAGGAAAUUGAUGAAAUGUUGGAAAUCGGCAAGUGAAAAUGAUUUUCCGUCAAUGGCGUAACGAGAGAUGCAGAAGCGGAUGAUGAGAAUGAGAACGGUGCAUCCGGCGACGAAUGAACCUGGAAAAAUUGGAAGUUAGUUUUGAACUGGCUGUUAUUAAAGAUGGUGUUGUCGACCCUUAUGUAUUGCUCUAUUAGACUCAAAAUUGCCUGAAAACACCGAAUUUCCUAAUGCAACUUCUUGAAAACUUCUCAAAAAAAACGUUAAGACGGCUCAAAAAAUGGCCUAAAAUUAGUUAAAAUUUGAAAUUCGACCAACUUGUCGCAGCGGCUGGAAACAAUUUUUCUUGAAAUCACCGUCAAAGUUUGAGUAUACAAUGUAAUUAUCUUGCGUUUUCCACUUCAUUCAGGUAUUUUAAAGUCAAUGGACAGCGAGAUUUUCAAAUUUUUUUUUAUCAAAUCUCGCCGUCCAUCGACUUUAAAAUGCCUAAAUGAAGUUGAAAACGCAAGGUAACUACAUUUUAUAAUCAAGCUUUGAAGCGGUGAUUUCAAGAAAAAUUGUUUCCAGCCGCUUGAUAAAUCGGUCAAAUUUCAAAUUUUAACUAAUUUUAGGCCAUUUUUUGAGCCGUCAUAACUUUUUUUUUUUGAGAAGUUUUCAAGAAGUUUCAUUAUGAAAUUCGGUAUUUUCAGACAAUUUUGAGUCUAAUAAAGCAACAAAAAAAAUUGGACUACACUACCUUUAAGGCAGGUACUCAGAAUUAAAAAAAAAAUUUAAAAAUGCGAAAAAUGUCCUAAUUUUUGCAAAAAAACUUCAAUUUUUUGGUUUUUCUUGUCACAACGGCCGGAAUUUGACUUUUAUUUAAUUUUUACAUAAAUAGAAAAUUUUGAUUUAUAUUUAUACGCGUUUUUUGUCGAUUUAGGUAAGUUUUCAAUCGAUAUCAACUGAAUAGGAUUUUCAACAAAAAACGCAUAAUAAAAUACCAAAUUCUGCAACUUAUGGUAAAAAUUGAAGAAAAAAAUAUAAAUUCCUGCCGUUCACACAAGGAAAAGUUGGCAAAAUUGGUCAUUUUAGUAAAAAAUAGGUUAUUUUUAAAAAAAUAGGAAAAUUCGGUUUUUCGGGGUUCUGGCAAAAUUUUUUUCUAGCAGUGAUGCUCAUCUUGAGCCUCAAUUUCCUUCUGAAAUUUUUUUUUUCAGCGUGCAUUUUUCACAGUAAAUGUGUGUUGCAAAAAAUCGAUUUCACAAACAAUUUUCUGGUUUUUUCAGUGAAAAAUUGCACUUUUCAGCUCAAAUUUCGCGCCCAAAAACUCACCAGCAUAUCCAAUUUGAAUAGCAAGCCGUGUAAGUUUUGCCUGGAGCACAGAUCGUUCCUUCUUUCCGUCAGAUUCCGCUGCAGCGACAGCUUUUCCGUUAGCCAUGGCUUCAUCUCCUUUCGAGUCUGAAAAUGGAUUAGAACAUAGCGAUAGAACGUUGUUGAAAUGGCAGCACUUUUUUUGAAUUGGAAUUUCCACGGAUUCACUGUGAGAUGGGUCUCGGCGCGCAAAAAAGGUUAUGGUAGUUUGCUACACAUUUUUCGGUUAAAAAUGGUUUUUUGUACGUUGAAAACUGAUUUAAAACAAUUUUUAACAGAAAAAUGUAAAGACAGCGAUAAAAUUCGUUAAAACAGAGCAAUUUCAAUGAAAAAUGCAGUCGCAAAAAUAGAACUGUCGAGACCCAUCUGACUUAAUUCGUGUGCCUUUAAAUGUCAAAAUCUAUUGAUAUACAACGAUAUAUCGAUCGAAAAUUAGUCAAAAAGAAAACCAAUUAACCAAAUAAAAAGUAAUAACAGAGUGAGAAAAGAGAGAGAGAGAGAGAGAGAAGUUCGAGAAAAGCAGAGAAAUCGACAGGAAUUCGGGUGGAAUUGCCAUGAUCAGUGGAGGCCUGGGAUGCAUUACUAAAAAAAAUGGUCAGAGCUCUUUUUUUUUUUUUUUUGCACAACAUCCAUUCCAGCAUCUACUGACUUUGACAAAAUCUACUCGAAAAAUUUCCCUAGUUUUCUCUCUUUUUUCAAACAUUCUCUCCAUGUCUUUUCCUUGAAAUUGGGGGUCCAGCACUCACCGAGAAGCGCCUGUGCAGUUCCUUCCUCGGCUCCAGAUGCUCCAUCGCCGCCUGCAAAAAAGAUCAAACCUCUAUGAGAGAAAUAGAAGUGAAAUUUUGGGUCUCGAACAGAAGAAGGAUUCUGUGGAUUUUGUGUCGAUUUACGCAGGCAUCGUGUACUCCGCGAGGAGAAAACUAAUUUGUGUGUCUGAAACUCUGGAUUUUGUACUAAUUUCGCUAGUUUUUCCUUGAGUUUAACAUUAAAAAUUGAACAUUUACCUCUAUUAGAUAUUACCAAACACAACAGGACCCAGGGGGCGUGGCGCGGGAAGAGCUAAAAUUGUGUAGAUUUACGGAGCGCGUUAAGAUUAAUUUAACUAUUAACGCUCCGUAAAUCUACACAAUUUAGGCUCUUCCCGCGCCACGCCCACUGGGUUCUGUUGUGUUUGGCAAUAUCUAAUAGAGAUAAAUUUUCUAUUUCUUAAUGUUAAACCCAAGUGAAACCUGGUGAAAUUCAGUCCAAAGCCCAGAAUUUCAGGCAAAAACUGUAAAAUCUUGCAGAAACAAGAAUUCGCGCUUCUCGCCGUGGAGUACACAAGCACAAGCCCUGCGUAAAUCUAAACUUGCACGUAGUGCCAGGCGGUCUCAUCACGGUUUGAUCUAAAAAAAAAUGCGGAAAUUUUUAGUCCAAAAAUAUGUUACGUCAGCACGUUCUUAACCAUACAAAAUCAGUUAAAAACUCUCUGCGUCUCUUCUUCCGCAUUUUUUGUAGAUCAACAUAGAUCAAGCCGAAAUGAGACACUCUGACACCACGUGCACGUGUGGCUUGAAAAAUUCACGAAUCUUUCGUUCUGUCACUUUUUUCUCAAAUAUAUAUAUAUAUAUAUAUAUGGGGAAACGACACUGAAGUUAUAAAAUUUUUAGGGGGAGUAGAAAAUAGACUUUUCAGGCAUAUUCUGGGGAAUUUCAGAUCAAGCUAAUAUUCACAAAACACCACCAUCAUCAUCAUCAUCAUUAUCAUCACGACCAAGACACCAUCCAGUAUGUAAUAGAAGAAGACGAGGAAAAUCUAUUUAAAGAAGAAGAAGAAGAAGAAGAUAUAAAUAAUAAAAUAGAGUAUAACAUUUUUAGGGUGAUAGAGUUGUGAAUUUCGUGUGUGUGCACGUGGUGUCAGAAUGUCCCAUUUCGUUCUGAUCUACAAAAAAUGCGGGAACUUAAAUAGAGUCGUAUACCCUUAAUCUGACACCACGUGUGUGUGGGCGUGUGUGAUAAAUCUGGGACCAACCACGUGUACAAGUGUGUGUGUGUGUGUGUGUGUGUGUGUGUGUGUGAGUGUUAUGCGUGUAAUUUUGUGUGUGUGUGUAGUUGAAUGGGGGAAAACCAAAUUCCUAAUCAGAAAAAUCGCUAAACGGGUUUCCAAUUAUCGAUUUACUCGGCCAUGUGUCGAUUUACGCCGUGUACUCCACGAGGAGAAGAUUACUACUAGUUUUUGGGCCGACACCGAACUCGCCGAAAUAGUGCUUCAAGUGAAAACUGAGACUGAAAUUGUAUCGUUUUCGCGGUUUUUCUUUUUGACGAAAAAUUUUGAUUUUUCUACCGAAAUUUUUCGUAAAAUCGUAAAUAUCAACCUUUUCACGUACUUUUUUUUUUAAAUAAAGGUUUUUCGAAGAACUACCAGAAAUUGAGAAUUUUUACGAAAAAUGGCAAUUUGGUAAUAAUAUUUUCUGCAUCAAAAAGUGCCGAAAUUUCAGGAAAUUUACGCAUUUCUCAGGUUGUGAAAGGCGAAAAUUCAAUUUUUUUUUGCCAAAAACAGACAAAAAAAGCAGAAGAUGACAAAAUUUCAGUGAUUCGAGAACUUUUAGUAAAAACCGAAAAACCGACUUUUUCUCGAGGAGUACACACGAGCUGCGUAAAUCGACACAAGCUUCAAUUGGAAGCCCGUUGAGAAAGACUGUAGAAGAUAGGAUAGAAGACGGCGACGACGACGACGCAGACAGGCAGAGACGACGAGAAUCAGAAAGAUCAGAAGAUCAGUAACAACAACGACGAAGAAGACGACGACGACGACGACGAUUCAGAGAAGGAGUAGAAGUAGUAGUAGUAGGAGAGUUGCAGGAGAGAGAUUGGAAAACUACCAUUUUGAUUUUGAGCCUGAUGAUGUGAAUCUCGAUGUUCACGAUGAUGAUGAUGAUGAUGGUGGUGAUGAGAUUUGACCGACGAUCGAGAACGUCGUUCUGUAAACCGAUUAGAGAGUAGUUUGAGAGGGUGAAGAGAGGAUUCAGAGAGAGAGAGAGAGAGAGAGAGAAGUGGUGAUGGAGAGAGAGAGAGCGAGAGCUAGAGAGAGACGUAGACAGCCGAAGGAAAAGAAAAAAAAAGCUAAGAUUUAAUUUGAUUGACUAUCAAAGAUCAGCCCCCCGUACCCUCUCUCUUUGCAGUUUUUCGUUCCUCUUCAGCGACGGUCUUGGCGGCGCCGAGCAGUGUCAUGAUGAUUCCAGUCUGUGAGUUGACUCCGACAGCUGUCACCAACAUCUGUAAGAGAAAUCAUUGGGGGAUUUUUAACGAAAGAACUCGCGGAGUUUUGUUCUGGAAAGUCGUUAAAGGUGGCGUAGUCGAAUUUAUUAUUUAUGAUUUUUUUGCAGUUUUCUGUUGUAUUCUUGCUAAUAUUGCCGAAUCAAAGUCCGCAUAUAGAUCUACAUAAAUUUAAAGGUGGCGUAGUCGAAUUUUUUUAAAAUUGCUUUAUUAGACUCAAAAUUGUCUGAAAACGCCGAAUUUCAUAAUGAAACUUCUUGCAAAAAACUAAAAAAAAAAACGUUAAGACGGCUCAAAAAAUGGCCAAAAUUAGUUAAAAUUCGAAAUUUGACCGGCUUGUCAAUGUAGCAGCAGCUGGAAACAAUUUUUUUUUGAAAUCACCGUCAAAUUUUGAAUAUACAAUGUGAUUUUCUUGCGUUUUCAACUUCAUUCAGGUGUUUAAAAGUCGAUAGACGGCGUGAUUGUUAAAUUUUUUAAACCAAAUCUCGCCGUCCAUCGACCUAAAAAUACCUAAAUAAAGUUAAAAAGCAAGAUAAUUACAUUGCAUAUUCAAAAUUUGACGGUGAUUUCAUCAAAAAAAAUUGUUUCCAGCUGCUGCUGCGACAUUGACAAGUCGGUCAAAUUUCGAAUUUUAACUAAUUUUAGGUCAUUUUUUGAGCCGUCAUAUUACAUUUUUUUGAGAUUUUCGCAAGAAGUUUCAUUAUGAAAUUCGGCGUUUUCAGACAAUUUUGAGUCUAAUAGAGCAAUUUUCAAAAAAUUCGACUACGCCACCUUUAAAUUUAUAUAGAUCUAUAGAUGCGGACUUUGAUUCGACAAUAUUAGCAAGAAUACAACAGAAAACUGCAAAAAAAUCCAAAAAAGUACGAGAAAAUUUGACUGAAAUUUUUUUAAGUCAAGAAAUGGGCGGAGCCUAUAUUCAGAUCUUCUUUACGAUUAGCUGUGUGUUUUGCAUGAUUAAAAAAUUUUUAAGUCUAUAUAGGUUAGACAGUUUAACUUUAAAUUCAAAACGGCGCAACACGCUGAAUUUUGAAUUUCAACUGUCUAAGGCUUAAAUACUUUUUAAAAAACAUGCGAAAAUAGCUUAAAAAGAUCUGCAAAUAGGCUCCGCCCAUUUCUUGGCUCUUUGCGUUUUUCAGUCAAAGUUCCUCGAAUUUUUUGAAUUUUGUUUUUGCAUUUCACUGCAACUUUUUUCAAACGGGGGCCGAGAAAAAAUGCGAAAAAUCGGUGUUUGCACACAGUACACCGCAUUUAACGACAUUUUGUACUUGCUUUGUUUUCUUGUGUUUUUCACCGAUUUUUCCCGUUUUUUUCUUAUUAAAACUGAUAAAUAAAUAUUUUUUGCAGAUGCUAAAACAAUGUCCAAGUGAAAAAAUUGUGUAUUGAGUCGGUAAGUAGCGGUGAAAGUGGUCAAUGUAAUAUGAUGGAUUACGGGAAUACAAAACCUAAACUUUUUUCCAAACAUGAUACAUAUACCGCUUAGAUGUUGAAACUACCUGAUUUUCAUAACGAGACCGCUGAAAAAGUUUUGAGUUUUUCGAAAUUCAAAUUUUUUAGUGAAAAAGUUGAGGUUUUCGCACAAAAAGUUGAAUUUUGAAAACCUCAAAACUUUUUCAGCGGUCUCGUUAUGAAAAUCAGGUAAUUUCAGCAUCUAAGCAUCAUAUGUAUCAUGUUUCAGAAAAAGUUUAGGUUUUGUAUUCCCGUAAUCCAUCAUAUUGCAUUGACCACUUUCACCGCUGCUUGCCCACUGAAUACAUAAUUUUUUUACUUGGAAAUUGUUUUAGCAUCUGCAAAAAGUAUUUAUUUAUCAGUUUUGAUAAGAAAAAACGAAAAAAUUCGGUGAAAAACGAAAGAAAACAGGCGGAAAACAAAGCAAGAUAAAUGGCCGCUGAAACUUGUCGGCCCCUCGGCCAUGGCCUAGAAACCACUUUUCCUCGUCCCUCGUGAGGAAAAAGUUGCAGUGGCAAAGUUUCCUCGACUAACACAAACCUUUCCAGAUCCUUCCAUAACGUGUGUUCCAGACAAAAUAAUCGGAUCGUGCUCGGGGCUCUUCCUGAUUUGAUCCGAUUCUCCUGUCAACGAGGACUCGUCCAUUUUAAGAUCAUUCGAUUGAAUGAUAAUUCCGUCUGAUGGAAUCAAAUCUCCGUACUUGAUCUGGGCAAUGUCACCGACGACGAGCUCAUUCACGACGACUUGUACCGAUUGACCGCCACGAAGGACGAAGAAUCGAUGUUCGGUUUCGAUUUUCGCUUGGAGACCACGGAAUUGACGUUCCUUUGUGUAAUCAUUGAGAGCCGUGACCAGUACGACGACAAUAACUGAGAUGAGAAUUGCGACACCUUCGAUCCAUCCGGCAUCGUGUUCACUGUCAUCCGAACCCGCUGAAAAUUGAGAGAAAAAUUGGAAUUUGAAUGAAAAAAAAUUCAAUCUUAUUUAUAAUUUCGAAGAUUUUGCGAUUUUCGGGUCUCGAAGCGAACAAUUUUCUGUAAUUCAACAAAUUGUGCGCCUAUAAAGGAGUACUGUAGUUUCCAACUCUUAGUUUUUUUUUCGGAAUUGUGAAAAUGUAUGAAAUUCAUCAAAGAAUUAGCAACUACAGUAGUCUUUAAAGGCACACGAUUUUUCAAAUUUAAGAAAACCGGUCACUCACGCUCUCCUCAAAGCCGAAUAAUUAUUAGAGCGCGCUUGCAGCGCUUCGCGUUUCUGCAUCCGUGGUAUUUUGCCUUUCCACUGAAAUAAGCAGCUUAUAAGCUUAUAAGCAGCUUAUAAGCUUAUAAGCAGCUUAUAAGCUUAUAAGCAGCUUAUAAGCUUAUAAGCUUAUAAGCAGCUUAUAAGCUUAUAAGCUAAUAAGCUUAUAAGCUAAUAAGCUUAUAAGCUAAUAAGCUUAUACGCUUAUAAGCUAAUAAGCUUAUAAGCUAAUAAGCUAAUAUGCUUAUAAGCUGCUUAUUUCAGUGGAAAGGCAAAAUACCGCGGAUGCAGAAAUGCGAAGCGCUGCAAGCGCGCUCUAAUAAUUAUUCGGCUUUGAGGAGAGCGUGAGUGACCGGUUUUCUUAAAUUUGAAAAAUCGUGUGCCUUUAAAGACUACUGUAGUUGCUAAUUCUUUGAUGAAUUUCAUACAUUUUCACAAUUCCGAAAAAAAAACUAAGAGUUGGAAACUACAGUACUCCUUUAUAGGCGCACAAUUUGUUGAAUUACAGAAAAUUGUUCGCUUCGAGACCCGAAAAUCGCAAAAUCUUCGCAUUUGGGUAAUAACACAAUCAUGUGUCGAUUUACGCAGCAUGUGUACUCCAGGAGGAGAAGCUGUUUUUUAAACAGCUUCUAUAUGAUGAAAUUCAGGGGGUUUUGGAGGUUUUAGAAGAAAAUCGAAAUAUUUACUGUUGAAAACCCAGGCAACUAUAUAUUUUGGCUCGAAAGUUGGGAAAAAAUCGAUUUUUUGCUGUAAACUUUGAAAAAAUCCAACAGAAAAUGUCAAUUUUCAGCCAGUUUUUCGGAUUUUUUUUUGAAUUUUUACAUACUAUUUUCCUAUAUUUUGGUAAACUUUUGAUUAUAAAAGUUGAAAAUCAAGGUUAAUUUUCGCUGAAAAAUUCGAAAAAUGCACUAGAACAUUGUCGUUUUCCGGGUAAUUACACUUUCCAGCCAGUUUGUUGCAAAAUGAGAGAAAGAUUGGCGAUUUGAGUGCUAAAAAUCGCGCCAAAAUCGGUAAAAUCUAUCAUCUUCUCCUCGCGGAGUACACGGCCGUGAUUUUCUUCUUCCAUCAAAAAAAAAAACUAUACCAGUAUCUUCUCCAGGAGGUCUGUAGAAUGAAAGAGCAAGUGAUACGAUUGCAGAAACAAGAAGAAUAACAAGAGUGACGUCCUGAAAAAAAAAACAAUUUUUUGGAUUUUUUUCUUUUUUUUUCAGAAUUUUCCAGUGCUAGUCCCUCAAAAAAGAGGACCUUCCAAUAUUUUUUUCCGCCGAAAAAAAAAAAAAAACUUUUAGGUUGCCACAACCCACCCACUCAUGCAUAUUCAAUAAUUUCCUUUUUUUUGCUUUUUUCUCGUCUUUUUUCUUUUUCUUGCUCAUAAAAAGGCAUACGGAGUAAGAGAAAAAAGGGAAAAAUGUUUUAAAUUAGAGUGCACGAGAAUUAUGGAGACGCAGAGAGAAACCUCUUGGGAGAGAGAGAGAGAGCAUUUAUUCUUUUGAAAGAAGCUCUUGGGAAAAUGAGGGAAUUUUUUAGUUUUAGAUAAAUAUUUGAAUAAAUAAAAGGUGAAGGGUGGGGGAAUUUUUAGAGCUUUAAAAAUUAAAAAAAUUAAAAAUUGCUUGAAAUUCGCGAAAAAAUGGGAAUUUUUACUGAAUUUCCACACAUUUUAGGCACUAUUUUAACAGAAAAUCGAACAAUUCGUGAAAAAAAAAGCCAAAAUCCAUCCAAAAUCACCGAUUUUUGCAUUUUUAGCGGCGGGAAAAAAUAAUUUUGAACAUUUUUGAGGUUUUUCCAGGAUUUUCCCCAUUUUAUGCACACAUUUUUCGUGUUUUUUUAUAGAGAAAAAAUGACGAUUUUAAUGAAAAAAUGAGAAAAUCUUUUCAGAAAAAUGCAAUUUUUCCAAUAAAAAAUUAUCCAAACUCAGCUGAAAUUUUGAUUGAAAAUUGGCAUUUUCAAGUCUUUUUUACUGAUUUUCUACACAUUUUAGGUAUUUUUAAAAAGAAAAAUCGAAAUUUUCGAAAAAAAAAAAGAAUCAAAUCCAGUUAAAAUUUCGUCGAUUUUCACCAUUUUUAGCGCUCAGGAAUCAAUUUUAAUCAAAUUUUCCAUCAAUUUUAUGUGCAUUUUUGGUGUUUUAAGAGAAAAAAUGUCGAUUUUAAUGUCGAAAAUCAAUUUUUUUUUCCAACAAAAAUUGCCCAAAUUCAGCUGAAAUACUCAUUUUUAUUCAAUUUUUCCUCUCAAUUUUGUUUGAAAAUUGGCAUUUUCCCGGUAUUUAAUGAAUAUUUUCAGUCGUUGGGAACGAAAUUAAUCGAAAAAAAAAUUAAGUUUUUAGUCUCAAAAUUUCGAAAAAAAAAACUGACUAAAAUCCCGGAUUUUUGCCUAAAUUGCCCAUUUUUAUCGCAAUUUUCAGUCAAAUUACUGAAAAAAGUGCCAAAAAAUCCACGAAAAACGCGGCGGAAUUUGAAGGAAAUUUGCCGUUUUUAGCCAAAAUUUGAGUAAUUUUUGCUCAUUUUUCCGCCGCGAAUUUUCACCUGAAGAGCCUCCCAAACAAGCUGUAAGAAGCAUUUCGGUGGAUGUGGUGGAAUUUCAUUGGCUCCGAACACGUUUCUUCGCCUUUCGAGCUCCUCUUCGUUGUUGGGCAGUCCAUUAUUGGGAUCUGUUUUCAAUCGUUCACACAGACCCGUUGUUCCUCCGUAAUCUGUCUCGAUCUUUUCUUUGGCUUCGGCGCUCCUGUAAUGUAAUAAUAAAAAGAUUAGCUUUUUUUGUUUCGUUGAUUUAUUAGUAAUAAAAAUGGAGAUAAAGCACUAGAAAUGAGGGGUUUUUGCUGUAAAAAAUCCGAAAAAAAUGGGGUAAAUUUUGCUUUUUCGGCAAGAAAUUCACUUUUUAAAUCGAAUUUCUGCUUUUUUUUAUUGAUUUUUAGUCUAAAAGCACCUUUUUAGUCUAAAAGCACACAAAUUUGGUCACAAUCAACUGGAAAUGUGCCCCCAAAAACAACAAAAAUGUGAAAAAUUGGACAGAAAAUCAAUAAAAACAUUGGAUUUCCGGCAGAUUCCAGCGAAAUGUAUCCUUUUUUUUCCAAAUUUGUAGCUAAAAAUUCCGAAAAAAUGUGGUGAAUUUAGUUAAAAUCUGCAAUUUUUGGGGGCGGAAAUCACAUUUCCAUCCUAUUCUGGUUCAAAAAUUUUCUCACAAUCGACUGGAAAUGUGCGUAAAACGACAAAAAUGGGCCAGAAAAUCGAUAAAAAUUGGAUAUACGGGGCAGCUGCGGCGCGGAAAAUGCAGAUUUCAGCUAAAUUUAGCCCCUUUUUUCGAAAUUUUCAGCCAAUUCUCACUAAAAACUCUCAGUUUUUGGUCCGUCAGAGAAAAAUAUUUUAUAGUGAGAAUUGGCUAAAAAUUCCGAAAAAAAAGGGGAUUUAUAUAGAAUUUCUCUCCAAUUUUGUGGAUUUUUUGCUGAUUCGGGUGCCUUUUUAGUCGAUAAGUUUAUAAAUUUGGUCAUAAUCGACUGGAAAUGUGCCUAAAAACGACGAAAAAAUCGCAAAAUUAACGUAAAUUCGAUAAAAAAAUUUAUUGGACUUCCGGCUGCUGCGGCACGGAGAAAUGCAGAUUUCAGCUAAAUUUAGCCCCUUUUUUUCGAAAUUUUCAGUCCUUCAGAGAAAUAUAUAGUGAGAAUUGGCUGAAAAUUCUGAAAAAGGAACUAAAUUUAGCUGAAAUUCAAUUUUUUUAAAUAAUUUUCGUCCAAUUUUUUGCGAAAUUAAGUGCAUUGGUACAUAAAUUCGGUCCCAACCGACUGGAAAUGUGCCUAAAAAUGGCAAAAUAUAACAGAAAAUCGAUAAAAAUUGGAUAUACGGGGCAGCUGCGGCACCGAAAAAUGCAGAUUUCAGCUAAAUUUAGCCCCUUUUUUCGAAAUUUUCAGCCAAUUCUCACUAAAAACUCUCAGUUUUUGGUCCGUCAGAGAAAAAUAUUUUAUAGUGAGAAUUGGCUAAAAAUUCCGAAAAAAUUGGGGAUUUAUAUAGAAUUUCUCUCCAAUUUUGUGGAUUUUUUGCUGAUUUGGGUGCCUUUUUAGUCGAUAAGUUUAUAAAUUUGGUCAUAAUCGACUGGAAAUGUGCCUAAAAACGACGAAAAAAUGGCAAAAUUAUCGUAAAUUCAAUGCUGCGGCACGGAGAAAUGCAGAUUUCAGCUAAACUUAGCCCCUUUUUUUUCGAAAUUUUCAGUCCUUCAGAGAAAUAUAUAGUGAGAAUUGGCUGAAAAUUCUGAAAAAAGGAACUAAAUUUAGCUGAAAUUCAAUUUUUUUAAAUAAUUUUCGUCCAAUUUUUUGCGAAAUUAAGUGCAUUGGUACAUAAAUUCGGUGCCAACCGACUGGAAAUGUGCCUAAAUGUGGCAAAAUAUAACAGAAAAUCAAUGAAAAUUGGAUUUCCGACGGCUGCGGCACCGAAAAAUGCAGAUUUUUGCUAAAUUUAUCACUUUUUCAGGAAUUUUUAGCCGAAAUAUGGUUUUUUUUGUUGCGUACUCACCUGUACUCCAUAAGGGCGCGAAGCUCCUCCAGUGAUGCACCAUAUUCGGGCAUCUUUCUGCAACGAAAAAAAAUGAGAAAAUUAUUUAUUUAUUUAUUCUUUUUUUUAAGAAAAAAAACAACGCAAUAACUAUUUCUGAAUGGUAUGUGCUGCUGCUUCGAUUAUUGUGUGCUGUUAUCGAACGGAAAUACACACGCUGAGUCACCAUGAAGAAUGGGCAAAUAUAUUUCUAUCAGACCGCGAGGGCAUUUUCAGACUUUACAGUGUGGAAAAUUUUUAUUUUUCCUUUUUUUUUCAAAGCAAAUCUGUCCGGGAGAGGCCGUGACUCAACCUGUUGGGCAAAACUACAAGCCGAUCGCGGCAAGUAAACGCGGAAAAGUAAAAAAAAAAAAAAAACGAAGCACAGAAAACAACAAGCAGCACACAAAAAUAACAACGGCGGGCAAGCUGCUGCCAUCGAUAUAUAAAAAUUGAUCGAUUUUAUUGAUAACAUUUGAUAAAAUAGAAAGCGCGCGCUGACUAUUUUUCAACUAUUUGAGUGCAUUUUAUAAUUUUCUCGCUUGAUUUUAGGAAAAAAAUUUUAUAUUCGAAAAAACACCAAUUUUCCACGUGUUUUUACGCUGAAAACCUCCAAAUUUCCACGCGGAAUUGUAAAUGCAACAAAAAAGCAUGUGAAAUGACUCAAAUGAGCCAGAAAAAAAUGCUCUUGGCAGGGGUGUGUGGCGGAGAAGAAGGGGGGAAAAGGCAUCUGCUGUUGUUUUUGAGGAGCUUCUCUCCCCCAUCUUUUUCAGCCGCUGCUGCUCGUUUUCUGUGUUGUUUCCGGGGGGGCGCUAACAGACGCAGACGGCAAAAUAAGUGAAAACCCGACGUCUUAUUUCUUUUUUUGUUGCGUGUUCUUACGUUGAUUAUAUGAAAAAGCUAAAAAGCUUUCUUGCAGGUAGUUGUAGUUGCACACAGAUCUGAAAAAUUGGAAAUUGGGAUGGGAAAUCGCGAGAAAAUAGGCGAGAAAUUAAAAUUUUCGAAAAUGAAAUUAGAAAAUUUGUAUGUUCGCGCCGCGGCGAGUACGGUGUGCAAUUGUACGCAAUUAGUGUACGCAAGCACCGUUGCGCACCGUACCCGCGCGGGUGUUUUGAAUUUAAUAAAAUGUGUUUUUUAAUUAGAUUUUUUGAGAUUUAAUUAGCGUUUCAAAUUUAAUAUGUAAAGUAUUUUUUGAGAUAAAAAUAUUUAAAAAAAGCUCAAAGGCCCCAGAACGUUGGGUCUUGUUAGGUAUUUGCCGAUAAAACCGUUAAUUCAAACUUUUUCAAUUAAUUUUGCAGAUUUCGAAGCUUUUUUCGUCUUUUUCGUUAUAUUUUCCGUAGUUUUUUUAUUUUUUGUUGAUUUUUACGUCAAAAUGGUUUUCUUUAGCAUUAUUUCGAGGUUAAAAUAAAUUUAAAAGACGACAAAUUCUUGAAAAUUGGCGAAAUCCGAGAAAAAUGAAUAUUUCAUCGAUUUUUGCAUAAAAAUCUUUAAAAACAACGAAAAACAUAACAAAAUCGUCGAAAAAUUCUUGAAAAUCGGCGAAACUAAUUUAAAACAUUUGAAUUUCUUGUUUUACCGCCAUUUACCUAAUAACGAGACCCAUUGCCCGUGGAGCGCGUUUCAACGUCAAUUUCUAAAAAAAGGGGCCACAAUACUUGCCUCUGAGUUUUUUCUCGGUCUGUUAUUCUUGUUUUUCGAAAAUUUGAAGUCAGAACGAGUUCAUCAUACGAAUUGUCCCUCACUCUCUACCUUUUCGAACCAGCCUACUACUGUAUGCAGGUUUGUCUCGGCCCAAUCGUUGAUGCAACUGAAAACAAACGAAAACGUAAAAUCGAAUGAAUAUUUAAUUUUUUUGUUCAAGCGUUUGAAAAAUAAAUUGAGAAACGCAACGGGACGGGCAGGAAGUUGAACGAAAAGACAAAAGAUCGUCGUCGUCCCCGGGACUAAAAGUGUGUGGAGGGCCCCUACCGAAAAAGUUUAGUUUGCAAGUGGCCAAAAAAAAUGGGAAGGGAUGAAGAAGACGAGACGAAGGCGAGAAAAAGAUGGAAAGGAAGAAGAAGAAGAAGAAGUCGACGGCGACGUCUUCUCCGUGUGAAAAACGCAAAAUAGUGACGGCGGGUCGCGCCGGAUGAGAAAAAAGAAAAAAAGAAGAGCCCGCGCCGCCGACGUCAUCAAAAAAAUUUUUUUUUAAGAGUGAGAACCAGAAUCAAAUAGAAAAAAUGAAUGACUAGAGUUUAUUGGAAAAUUGGAAGAUUAUUGUCCGCAAAUUGUGGGCGAAAUAAUUCCACAAUUGAUAAGGUUUUAUCGAUAGCAAAUAAACUUUCCACAAUGUAUUUAUGAAUUUAAAAUUAGUCAAGAUAUAGAGAAAACGAGGAAAUUUGGUCAGAAAUAUUGGUCUUUUCAUUAAUAUCGAGUUUUUCGUAGAUGCAGAUAUUACGGGAACCCAAAUGCCUGAGAAUGCGUCUUACACAACAUAUUUGACGCGCAAAAUAUCUCGUAGCGAAAACUACAGUAAUUUUUUUAAUGGCUACUGUAGCCAUUGUGUAGAUUUACGGGCUCGAUUUUUGAAAUGAAGUGAAAUAAUUUAUUUAUUUAAAAAUAGAAAAUUGAAAUUAAAGUAAACAAAAAAUGUAGUCAUUCCGAGAGUUACUGUAGUUUUCGGUACGAGAUACUGUGCGCGUCAAAUAUGUUGUGCAAUACGCAUUCUCAGAAUUCCGUGUUCCCGUAAUAAUAACUUGAACCAGUUUUAGGAGUAUGCAUGGCUAAAUUUUUUUUUUGAAAACAUUCUUAAGCUGCUAAAAUUGCUCCAAAAUUUUUUUUUUCAAAAAGUUUUUCUUACGAUGUUCUGGCUAUGAAUUCUGAAAGCUUUUUGGUUUUUUUUUUUUUUAAAUCUGAAAAUUAUAUCAAAAAAUUUCAUCUUUAUUCAAAAAAUUAAGAAAUUCCAAACUAUUCUCAACAGUUUUAAAUUUUGUAAAGGUCAGAUUCUUCAUAAUUUUGAAAUUCUCUGAAUAUUUUUUCUUGCCUACCACAAAAUCUCUAAAGUCAGAAUUUUUUUUGCAAAAAAAAAGAAACAGUUUUGGAGCAAUUCUCGAUUUCUCCGAAAAAAAUCACUGCAAAAACUUCAGGGGGUAGCCUGAAAAACUGCACAAAACCUGUAAUUUUGGGUUAAAAAAUUCAAAAAAAAAAAAAGUAUUUUUUACUUCUAAAUAUCCUGAAAGUUUCCGAAAGUUGACCAAAAAAAAUGCUCGAAAUUUCAGAAAAAGUGCACUGAAACUGUAACAUUUCAGAACGAAAUUUCAUUUUUUUUUCUUUUUAAGAAACGACCAAAAAUUAAAAAAAAAUUUUAACAAGAAAAAAAAUAGAGAAACGGAAAAGCUGAAGCCGUGGCGGGACACCGGUUGUUUUUCCACAAUUUUUUUCUUAUUAGACCCCGCGACAAGACAUGGAGAAGGCGGGGUGGGGGUGGCGAAAAGAAAAAAAUGCGAUCUAUAUAUAUUUAUGCUUAUGCUCUGAAGGAGGGGGGGGGGGGGGUCUCUGCUUUAACGUGUGAAGGAUUAUGGAAAAAUAUAUAUGGCUAGGAGGGCGUCGCGCACGCAGUUCGUCUCUCCAUCUCCUCAUCUCUAAACUCCCAAAAAACGAAAAGCGGGAUAGCUUUCUCAGCACAACUCAAGUCUGACUUGAAUCAAUUUGUGUCUGUGUGUACUGGAGAAGUGGGAGAAGAAGAAGGAACGAAUCGAGCAAGAAAGAGAGAGAGAGAGAAAGAGGAAAAGACAUAGCCGCUCUUUUUACGGGGCCCUGCUCCAAAAAAGACGACGUCGUCGCUUCUCCUUGUGCUGCUCUUAGCUCCCUCUGCUGCUGCUGCUGCAUCGACGAGAAGAGUGAGCACAUACACACACACACACACACACACACACACACACAAUUCAAUGGGAUUUGGAAUUGGUCCAAUUGUAUGUAUGAGAAAAAGAGAGAAGACUGGAAAAACGAGAGAAAGGAGGCGCACCAGGGCUUUUCUUUUUCCUUGAGAGGACCGAGCAAAAGCACGCGUUGUCUUCAAGGAGUAGGAGGAGCAAUAGAGAAGAGCACAAAGAGCAUGUAAUAAAUUAUCUAAUACGUUUUAUUUUCUUGUUUAAAAUUUUUGAUUUUUUUUUGAAACUGCAUAUAAUUUACCAGCCGUGGACCGCACCUACGGCGCGGCCCCCGACUUUUUGAGAAAACACAUUAGAUAUACGGUGUCUAUCGCGGACCUCGAUCGAUGUCUGCUGCGCACUUAGCAUAAGGUUUCCCAAAAUUUCGUUGCUCUGAUCAAAGAUCAAACUACAUAGGGACAGAAGGACACGCGCUUUAUAUAUAGUAAAUGAUUCUAAAAGACGCAGAAAAAUUCUAAAAGACGCCCCAAUGUGGUAACGCGCUCCACUGCCAAUUCUCUACCCCCGCAUGUGGGUCUCGUUAGGUAUUUGGGGGCAAAAUAUGUAAAUUCAACCAUUUUUCGUUUUUUAGGUUGAUUUUAUUGAUUUUUUACGAUGAAGAUAUGUUUUUCAAAACGUUUUUUUCAAUUUAAAAAAUUAUUUUUAAACAACUUCGACGCAAAAAUCAAUAUAAACAACUUGGAACAUCACGAAAAAUGCUCAAAAAUUGGCGAAAUCGGCAAAACUUAUUGAAAACUUUUGAAUUUACGGUUUUACCGCCAAAUACACGUCGUGUCAGGCUGUCCCAUAACGGUUUGAUCUACAAAAAAUGCGGAAUUUUUUCGGGCAAAAAUAUGUGACGUCAGCACGUUCUUAAACAAAAGGAAAAAAGUUGAGAACUCUGCGUCUCUUCUCCCGCAUUUUUUGUAGAUCUGAAUGAAAAAGUUACUUCAAAUUGUGCUCGCCAUACAACAUUUUUGGAAAGUUUACGGAAUAGCGACGAGAUUCUAAAAACGGAUAAAAAAUCCUUAAGUCAAACUCAAUUUGAAAAUCGAGCAGCCUUUAUCGAUACUUUCUAUGAAAUAAUUCUUAUGGAUCAAUCUGCCGAGAAAUUUGAAAUCGAUAAGCUAACAAUGUUGGUUAAUAAGUGUUUGAUGCGGAAGCAAUACGUGGAACUUAUGAUUUUAAAGUUUUUCCCCGUAAAUGAAAAAAAUACCGUUGACUUUUUUGGCUUGCUCAAGAAUUUUCAAGCCGAGUUGUUCGCGAAAUAAUUAUUUGAUAGUUAAUUGGAAUUUUUUUGAAUAAAUAUGUUUCUGACCUUAUUAUAUAUUACCCAGACACGAAAUUUCCCAAUUUUUCGUCAAAAGUACGGUAGGUGCCCCAAAAAAUAAAUGCUUUAAAAAUCGUGUCGAGACCGCCUUCGCUACAGCAAGACUCCGCAAACACGGGCAUACACCAAGCACGCUUACCAGUAAGUGCGCUCCACCGGACAGAUUAUAUUUAUUUAUUUUUUGUUGUUUUUUUUUUGUUAUUUUUCACCGACUUCCCUAUGUUUUUCUUGUUUUUUUUCAGUUUUUUGAAUGAAAAUUUAAAUAAAAACCAUUUUCAACAUACAGCGUACAAUUGUCGACUCGGAACAUCAAACAAAACAGAGAUCGAAUAAAUCGAUAACAUUUGGGGUUUUGAAUUAAAAGUCUUGAUUUUUGCGCAAAGGGUUUUCUAAUUUUUUAUACAAUCGUUCAGCCCGAUUCACUGAAAAUAUUUUGAAAAUAUUAUAAUUCUUCACUGAUAUUUUUUACUUCAAAAAAUUUUACUUCAAAAAUUUCAACUCUGUUUUUUUUUCAGAUGGCAAAGUCGAAGAGAUGUAAGAGUUCGAUGAAGAGCAUUGCAAAGAUCAACGAGCGCAGAGCUCUUCUGCAACUUUUUGGUGCAAGUUUCUAAUUUUCUAGCUAAGGUUUUCAACUUUCUAGCAAACUUCUCCAAGUUUCUAGAGCACUUCUACAACUGUUUAGCGCAGAUUUUCAACUUUCUAGCGCUUUUCUCAUACUUUCUAUAGCAGGUUUCCAACUUUCUAGAGCACUUUCGCAGCUUUUUAGCGUAGGUUUCCAACUUUCUGGUGCAAGUUCCUGAAUGUCUAGAGAACUUUUCCAACAACUUUCUAGCCAAGGUUUUCAGUUUUCUAGCAAUUUUCUGCAACUUUCUAGCGAUUAUCUCUAGCAUUCUAUCACAAGUCUCCAACUUUCUAGAUUACUUCUGCAACUUUUUAAAGCAGCUUUCUAGCGCUUUUUUUAAAAACUUUCCAGCGAAUUCCUAGAAAAAUGGGCUAAAAGUUCUGAAUUUUAACGUAAAAAAAUCUAAAAAUUAUGUCAAAUCUGAAAGCUAAAACCUCCAGAUUUCUUCCUUCGAAGUGCGAAAUGGGUGAGCAAAAUGAACCCGUCCGGCGGUGCGUUGGUCAGUGGACGAGGUGGAUUUCGGCCCGGUUUUGUGUCGAGAGACUGGCGACAUGCGAUGGCUGAGCCGAAUUUUGUUAAGGUACGUAAAUCUAUGAUGUUUUUUCUCACUAGACAUUAUGCAAAUUAAUAAGAAUUAAUAACUUUGAUGAUGUAGAAGAGGGUAUUUUCUUUGAAAAUCAAAUAAAAAUACCUAGUAAAGUAAAUGUGUUGACGCAGUUUAAAUUUAGUAGGCAGGCAGGUUUCUAGCUGCGCCUGCCUACCAGAAAUUCUGUUCGGGUGAUCUUACCGUUGUAGGCGCCAAGAGGCUUGUAGGUAGGUAGGUACAAAGCAAGUGCGUGGGCGAAAAUUCAUAUUGACAUGAGAUAGAUGUAGGCAAAUAGGCAGUAAUUUUGGCAGGCGGUAGGCAAACGUGUAGGCAUGGAAUAGGCACAAAAGACAUGUGCGCGAAAUUUAGGCGUGUAGGUAGGCAUUAGGUAGUACGCAAGCAGCGCACACCAAAACAAUUAUUGGGUCGGUUUAUAGUCACCAAAAAGCAGGGGCCUAUACAGGCACAAAAUAGGUAUGCAGGCAUUAAAAGGUAGCCACAAUUUAGUAAUGUCUGCACUAAAAGGUACUUAGGCGCGUAGGCAUGAAGUAGGCGUGCCUAGAAUUCCAAAAAACUAUAGGCACCAAUAGGCAGGAACCUAUAAACUCAUAAAAUAGGUGUGUAGGCACCAAAAGAUAGCCACAAUUUAGCUAUGUCGGCACUGAAAGGUACUUGUACUUAGGUACUUAGGCGCGUAGGCAUGAAGUAGGCAUGAAUAGAAUACCGAAAAAACCCCGAUUUUCAAAAUUCCAAAUUUUCAGCGAUCCUACAACGACUACUGACCCCAUUACAAUGACGUCAUCAGUAAACGGGCGCUCCUUGCCACCAUCACCACCACCACCGAUCUCUUCCUCCACCAACCCAAUUCUCGUCUUUUUCUUCUCAUCCAUAUUAUCUGUGGUCCCGACAUUCCUGAUAGCUAUGAUAAAAAUGAUCCAAAUCCCAAUUGGCGACUGUGUUCCGCGUUGUUCCUCGAUUUUUUCACUUCCUAGUUCUUUGUCUAAAAUUUUUGGUUUUCUUUCGGAGAUGUCAAUGAAUUCGAAUUCGUGUUGCCAAAUACUUGGUUUUAUUCAAUUUUUGGAGCUGGUAGAUCAAAACGGUUCCGACCAAUCAGCAACGUUUGCGAUGCCCAUGUGCAAUGCUGAUUGGUCCGUAGAGGAUUCGGAAGAUCCACGUGGUGUCAGAAUGCCCCAUUUCGUUGUGAUCUACAAAAAAAUGCGGGAUUUCAAACGCAGACUUCUCAACUGAUUUUUUUUGGAAAAAAAUUCCCGCAUUUUUUGUAGAUCAAACUGUUAUAGGACAACCUGACACCACGUGAAGAUCAACCAGGAGUGUGCGGCAAUUGUUGUCGACAAGUUCGGCUAUAAAUUCGGCAAAUUGCCGGUUUGCCGAAAAUUUGGAUUUUUGCCAAAUUGCCGAUUUGCCGUUUGCCGGAGAAACGGAAACACUUAAAACUGGGUAUAUUUUCAUAGAAAUUUCUUACAUUUUCAAAAUGAAUGUAUGAACAAUUUUUCCAAAAAAAAAAAUACAAAACCGGCAAAUUCGGCAAAUUAGUAACUUGCCGGUUUGCCGAUUUGCCGGAAAUUUUCAAUUCCGGCAUUUUGCCCAUUUGCCGAAAAAAUCGUUUGCCGCCCACCCGUGGAAAAGACGUGGUACACAUUUUAUACACGUCAUGCUAACCGCCAAUUACCUCGUUUUUUCAGGAAAAAUAUUAAAUUAAAUUGCUGGUUACAAAAUUGCUAGUUGCAAAAAAUUGUGAAAUUCGGGUACAAAGUUAGAUAUAAAAUUAGAUUUUUUUAAUGAACUACUUUAAUUUGAAAGUUUCUUCGUUAGGAAGCGGCCGACAUUUUCUGGUUCUCUGGGUUUCAGUAGGCAGAGAGUAGGCAUGCCUAUAGGCACGAGGCAGGCAUUAUUUUUUAUGCUAGCGCGUUUCACUUGUAUUUGCACACAAUAAUAUGUUAUAUGUGUUUCUGUUAUCAGUACCUAACAUUUUUUCUUUGGUGUAGUUUUUGUGUGUGCUUACAUACCUGAUAUUGUCCGUUUCUCUAAAAAAUGAAUCUGGAAAAGUUAAGCGAGCUAUUGUGCUUUCAAUGUGGAAAGCUUUAUGGUAAGAUUUAGAAUUAACAUUGAAAUUUGUUGAUUUUUUAACCUUUCACGUAGGCACGUAUAGGCGGUAGGCAGGCGUGUCUAAAAAAGGAAAGUACUUAUUUUAUCCUUAUUCUUGGCAAAGCUGAUGUCUACUUUUAUUUAGUUUUGUGUAGAAUUUUCUCAUUUUUCAAAAGAAGUUAUUUAAAAAAUUAAAGUUUUUGGAAACGGUCCCUAAUUCUUGAUUUUCAGAAAAAUCUAAAAUAGACAUUUGUGAAAAAGAAAAAAAUAAAAAAUAAAUCGGAGGUUCGAAAUUUAAAAAAUUUUUAGAAUCCAUCACAAAACCUGAUGACGAAGCGAUUCUUGUCCCUGUUCUCGGUGCCUGCCUACACUCGAUUUGCAUUUUAUGCGCAACUGGUCUAGAAUCACCAAAUUCUUGUCCAAUUUGUGAAAACCCAGAAGCUUUUGGGAAUAUCAUCAGCAAUUGUACAGCUUUGAACACAAAGCGCCGAGUUUUGUGGAAGCUGUCAAACUAGAAGAGCAAAUUAUUCAAGACUAUGUAAUUUUAAUACAUUUUUUUAAAAUAUAAAACCUAUUAUUAAUUUUCAGGAUGAACCACCUCCGAACCUUGCCCCAGCUCCUUCGAUUCCACGUUUUGCAGCUGUUCCCGUGUUUCCUCGUUCUAGAAUUCCGGCUACUUAUCCAUAUCGAAGAUUUGAGCCGUACGUUUUCGACGGGCUUACUCGAAAUGAUGGAAAAUUGCUCCAAAAAAAACCGAAUUUCUCAUUAAAAAACACCCAAAAUCAGCAGAAAUUGUCAAUUUUUGUGUGCAUUUUUGGUUAAUAACUACUGAAAUCCACAAAAAAUUUACAAAAUGAUGCAAAAUCCGGAUGCGGAAAACUUGGUGAAAUUGAUUUCAGCUAAAUAUUGCCGAAAUUGCAUGAAAUUGGCAGAAAAAUAUCGGGAAUAUGCUGAAAACUGCGUUCUUAUGAAUAUUUAGCGAAAAAAUAAUUUUUUAAAGUGUUUUUCAUGGUAUUUCUGGCAAGUUGAAUCGAAAAAUCGAUUUAAAAAAAGAAUAAACUUCCAAAAUGUGACAAUAAAAAAAAAUUUUUAAUCCUUUUAAAAAAAUUCCGGACACAAUCAUUUUUAAAAAAGAUUUUUCGCGAAAAAGCAAUAUUUUUAUGAAGUUUGGCGAUUCUAGUUAAAUUUUAUAUGAAUUUUUUUUUUUUUAUAUCAAAAAUAUCGAUUUUUCUCCAUUUUUCAAAGAAACAAUCAUUUUUCUGGUGUGAAAUGGUUUAAGAUCUCUAUUUUUCAUUAAAAACCAAGAAAAAUAGGAAAAAAAAAUCAAUUUAAUUUGACUUUUACACUUUUACAAUAACAAAAAAAAAUCCUUCAUAAAUUCCCAUUUUUAUGACUUUUUCAGGAAAAAACCUCCAAAAAUUGAUUUAAUCGGUUAUUCUACUUAAAUUUACUAUGAAUUUUAUACUUUUAGAGCAAUAAAACCCCUAAAAUAAAAUAAAAAAAGAAAUCGAAAAGUUAGGUUUUUAAAUCAAAAAAAAAAUCAUAUUUUAACUUUAAAAUCAUUAUUAAAUUCGGAUAAAUUCCAAUUUUUUCCGAUUUUUUCGGAAAAAAAUCCAAUUCAAAUUUGCUAUGAAAUUUACUAUUUUAGAGCAAUAAAAAUCUUUAAAAAUUUGCAAAAAAAAAACCGAAAAGUAUACAUUUUCAGUUUCGAGCACACUUCAGAACACGGAUAUUCAUCAGUUGAACGAUAUAAUGAAGAAGUUGCAACUCGAUUUCUACUUGGAAAUGGACUUCCACUAACUUCAAUUGAAGAUCAUGAUUUGAGAACAUUUCUGACAACUUUAAAUCCAAGUAGAUCACUUCCAGAGCCAAGUAAUAUGACUACAAAAGCAUAUGGAGAAUAUAGAGUUGGUUAAAAUUCAAAAAUUUAAUUAAAAAUCCCAAGAAAACCUGAAAUUUCAGCCGUCACUGUCAUAUCAAAAAUCAAUUGGACCACUAAAUGUGACUAUUGAGGCGAUUCGGAAAAAUGAAAUUUUCCUUUCUAUUUCCGUUCAUUAUUACGAUUCACUUGGAGAACGGCAUAAUACUGUUCAUUUUGAGAAGAUUAUUCUGGCAGAGUUCGAUUUUUAAUUAAUUUUUUGUUUAAUUUUGAGGAGAAUUUAGCUUUAAUUUGCUCUAAAAAUGGCUCAAAAACUGAGAAAAAAUUGAAAAAAAGACAUUUUUGUGUUUUUUUUACAAAGGUGGAGUACCGAAAUCUGGGAAAUAUUUUCAAAUGACUCCAAUUUUUCCCCUGAUUCCGAAAAUCUAAGUGAAAAAAUUCAAAAAAAAAAAAAACAUUUCCCUGGUUUUAUAUUUAAGCUUGAAAUCCCGAAUUUCAUUUGUGCCUCGCUCUAUUUUUUGAAAUUCGCAUUCGCAUUGGAGCGCGCUUGCAUCGUUUUAUUUUUUCGUUAAUCUAUUUUGUCCGAAUUCAAUAUUUUUAAAAGCCAGUUUCAUUCGUUUUUGUUGAGAUUUGAAACAGGUUUUAAAACCAUUAAAUUAGGCGAAAAUAAAUAAAAAACGAAAAAAAUCAAACGAUGCAAGCGCGCUCCAAUGCGAAUUUCUUUGGGCGCAAAUUUCAAAAAAUAGAUCGGCGCACAAAUCAAAUUCGUGAUUUCAAGCCUAAAUAUAAAUCAUCAGGGAAAUUUUUUUGAAUUUUUUUCACAUUGAUAUUCGGAAUCAGGAGAAAAUUUGGAGUCAUUUAAAAAUAUUUCCCAGUUUUCGCUACUCCACCUUAAAAUUGCUCCAAAAAUAGUUCAAAAACUGAGAAAAUCGUCAGAAAAAUCAUUUUUCUCAUUUUUGCACCAAAUUUACUAAAUUUUAACCGAUUUUUUUGGUUUUUUUCCAGGAAAAGAGCAAGUUAAAGCAAAAUCCUCUGUCCACUUUAAAACAUUAACUCCGAAUAUAAUUUAAAUAUUUUUCAGUUAUGAAGGAAAAGUGGUGGCAGAUCGAUUGCGACGGGUUAUUGAUGCGAAUAAAUCGAUGAAUUUUGGAAUUUCGAAUAUUCUUUCUCCAAAUCUUCGAAUGUUGACUUUAGUAGCUGAAAAUAUGCCUUUUAAGAAUAG
RNAcentral lists this small RNA (83304 nucleotides) under Caenorhabditis elegans. RNAcentral's name for it is "Unclassified non-coding RNA Y67D8C.26". Lineage: Eukaryota; Metazoa; Nematoda; Chromadorea; Rhabditida; Rhabditidae. The record is from RNAcentral.